RNAcentral lists this long non-coding RNA (45657 nucleotides) under Gossypium raimondii (Peruvian cotton). Its description in RNAcentral is "long non-coding RNA (GRAI_LNC008694)". The stretch from base 12439 to 12510 matches the Rfam family "tRNA". The record is from RNAcentral. Lineage: Eukaryota; Viridiplantae; Streptophyta; Magnoliopsida; Malvales; Malvaceae.
UGGGGUUUUAGCUUCAACUCUCUCUCUCUCUCUCUCUCUCUCUCUCUCUUCUUCUUCGUUACGUUACGUUACGUUANNNNNNNNNNNNNNNNNNNNNNNNNNNNNNNNNNNNNNNNNNNNNNNNNNNNNNNNNNNNNNNNNNNNNNNNNNNNNNNNNNNNNNNNNNNNNNNNNNNNNNNNNNNNNNNNNNNNNNNNNNNNNNNNNNNNNNNNNNNNNNNNNNNNNNNNNNNNNNNNNNNNNNNNNNNNNNNNNNNNNNNNNNNNNNNNNNNNNNNNNNNNNNNNNNNNNNNNNNNNNNNNNNNNNNNNNNNNNNNNNNNNNNNNNNNNNNNNNNNNNNNNNNNNNNNNNNNNNNNNNNNNNNNNNNNNNNNNNNNNNNNNNNNNNNNNNNNNNNNNNNNNNNNNNNNNNNNNNNNNNNNNNNNNNNNNNNNNNNNNNNNNNNNNNNNNNNNNNNNNNNNNNNNNNNNNNNNNNNNNNNNNNNNNNNNNNNNNNNNNNNNNNNNNNNNNNNNNNNNNNNNNNNNNNNNNNNNNNNNNNNNNNNNNNNNNNNNNNNNNNNNNNNNNNNNNNNNNNNNNNNNNNNNNNNNNNNNNNNNNNNNNNNNNNNNNNNNNNNNNNNNNNNNNNNNNNNNNNNNNNNNNNNNNNNNNNNNNNNNNNNNNNNNNNNNNNNNNNNNNNNNNNNNNNNNNNNNNNNNNNNNNNNNNNNNNNNNNNNNNNNNNNNNNNNNNNNNNNNNNNNNNNNNNNNNNNNNNNNNNNNNNNNNNNNNNNNNNNNNNNNNNNNNNNNNNNNNNNNNNNNNNNNNNNNNNNNNNNNNNNNNNNNNNNNNNNNNNNNNNNNNNNNNNNNNNNNNNNNNNNNNNNNNNNNNNNNNNNNNNNNNNNNNNNNNNNNNNNNNNNNNNNNNNNNNNNNNNNNNNNNNNNNNNNNNNNNNNNNNNNNNNNNNNNNNNNNNNNNNNNNNNNNNNNNNNNNNNNNNNNNNNNNNNNNNNNNNNNNNNNNNNNNNNNNNNNNNNNNNNNNNNNNNNNNNNNNNNNNNNNNNNNNNNNNNNNNNNNNNNNNNNNNNNNNNNNNNNNNNNNNNNNNNNNNNNNNNNNNNNNNNNNNNNNNNNNNNNNNNNNNNNNNNNNNNNNNNNNNNNNNNNNNNNNNNNNNNNNNNNNNNNNNNNNNNNNNNNNNNNNNNNNNNNNNNNNNNNNNNNNNNNNNNNNNNNNNNNNNNNNNNNNNNNNNNNNNNNNNNNNNNNNAAUUCUUUUGUUUGUGUUUCCUAGAUUUUGAGUCUUUCGUUUUGUUCGUUGUUACUGUUUCCUCUUCUUUUUUUCUUUUUAUAAUUUGAUGUUUUAGGAUUUUAUUUGCAUUUUAAUUUUAAUUUCGAAGAUCUAUAUGAUGUUUAUUUUUUAUGAUUUAAUCCAUUUGUUUGUAUUUCCUGGAUUUUGAAUCUUUCGUUUUGUUCGUGGUUACUGUUUCCUUCUUUUUUUUAAUUUGAUGUUUUAGGAUUUUAUUUGCAUUUUUAUUUUAAUUUCGAAGAUCUAUAUGAUGUUUAUUUUUUGAAUUAUGUAGUUCCUUUUUUUUGCUUCAAUUCGUUUGUGAUUUGAAUCUGUUAUAUUUUUGCUAGAUUCAUUGUAAUGAUAACAGUCGAAGAUUUAUUUAAUAAUUUUAUGAGAUUUUUUCCUUUUCUUUUAAGUUCGUUGUAUUGACUUUUUUGUUUUAUAUGAAUUUUUUAUAAAGUAAAUUUGUUAUUAGAUUUUGUUGAGAUAAUAAUUUCCAUUAGUUCAGUCAUUAAUCAAAUCAUUCCUCUUUUUUGUGUGUGUGUACGUUAAACUGUGAGACUGGAAUCAUUGUAUUGUUUGUUAGGUUUGAUAUAAUUAUAUAAAAUUAGUAGACUAUUUAGAGUUUUUGUUUUUAAUCUUUUUGUUUUUUCUUCUUCUUUUUUUUUUUUUGCAUAAAAUUACUAAUAGUCAAAAGUGAAUCUUGGAAUCUAUUAUAAUUGUUAUAUAUGAAAGUAAAAUCAUUGUAUUUCUUUUGGUAUAGGUAUCGUUUGAAUACUGCAUCUUCUAUUUUUUUUUUCAAUAUUUCAAACAUGAAUUGAAGUAAUUAAAAAUUAAAAUGUUUGUUUGAAAGAUAAAUUGCAUGGCUUUGCUAUUACAUGGAAUUGCAUAUUAGCAUUGAUAUUAGAAUUUGAGUCUUUCGUUCAGUUGUAAUUCCCCCAUGUUGACGAGGCUAAAGUAAAUAUUAAGAUCCCGUUUUAAUCUGUUCUUUGUUUCUGUUUAAUUUUGUUUAAUAAUGUUAGUGCAGAUCCUAGCUAACAGUGCAUAAUGGGUAAGGAGAAGGUUCACAUCAACAUUGUUGUUAUAGGACAUGUCGACUCUGGAAAGUCGACCACCACUGGUCACUUGAUCUACAAGCUUGGUGGUAUCGACAAGCGUGUGAUCGAAAGGUUUGAGAAGGAAGCUGCUGAGAUGAACAAGAGGUCAUUCAAGUAUGCUUGGGUGCUUGACAAGUUGAAAGCAGAACGUGAGCGUGGUAUUACCAUUGAUAUUGCCUUGUGGAAGUUUGAGACCACCAAAUACUAUUGCACUGUCAUUGAUGCUCCCGGACAUCGUGACUUUAUCAAAAACAUGAUCACUGGUACCUCUCAGGCUGACUGUGCUGUCCUUAUCAUUGACUCCACCACUGGAGGUUUCGAGGCUGGUAUUUCAAAGGAUGGGCAGACACGUGAACAUGCUUUGCUUGCCUUUACUCUUGGUGUGAAGCAAAUGAUUUGUUGUUGCAACAAGGUAGAAUUUCUUCUUCUUAAUUAAUACAGAGUUUUAUUAUUUGGUUUGUUUUUUUUUCUAAUUGUUCUGUUCUAUACAGAUGGAUGCCACAACUCCCAAAUACUCAAAGGCAAGGUACGAUGAAAUCGUGAAGGAGGUUUCUUCAUACUUGAAGAAGGUUGGUUACAACCCUGAGAAGAUUCCAUUCGUCCCUAUCUCUGGUUUUGAGGGUGACAACAUGAUUGAGAGAUCGACCAACCUUGAUUGGUACAAGGGUCCAACUCUGCUCGAGGCUCUUGACCAGAUCAAUGAGCCCAAGCGACCCUCUGACAAGCCCCUUCGUCUCCCACUUCAGGAUGUCUACAAGAUUGGUGGUAUUGGAACUGUCCCAGUGGGUCGUGUUGAAACUGGUAUCCUCAAGCCAGGUAUGGUUGUUACUUUCGGUCCUUCGGGAUUAACCACUGAAGUUAAAUCCGUUGAAAUGCACCAUGAGGCUCUUUCCGAGGCUCUUCCUGGUGACAAUGUCGGUUUCAAUGUUAAGAAUGUUGCUGUCAAGGAUCUCAAGCGAGGAUUCGUUGCUUCUAACUCAAAGGAUGAUCCAGCAAAGGAGGCAGCCAACUUCACCUCCCAAGUCAUCAUCAUGAACCAUCCUGGCCAGAUUGGAAACGGAUAUGCUCCUGUCCUUGAUUGCCACACCUCCCACAUUGCUGUCAAGUUUUCAGAAAUCUUGACCAAAAUCGAUAGACGAUCCGGUAAGGAGCUUGAAAAGGAGCCCAAGUUCUUGAAGAACGGCGAUGCUGGAUUGAUUAAGAUGGUUCCCACCAAGCCCAUGGUUGUGGAAACCUUUUCCGAGUAUCCCCCACUCGGUCGUUUCGCUGUGAGAGACAUGAGGCAGACAGUUGCUGUCGGUGUCAUCAAGAAUGUGGAGAAGAAGGAUCCAACUGGAGCCAAGGUAACCAAGUCCGCUGCCAAGAAGAAGUGAACCGAACAAAUUUUGGGUGAUUCAAAAAACCUCUAUUGUAGUGACUACAAUAGAACUUUAGUUGUGUCCUUAAUCCGAACUAUAGUUACAUGUUUUGAUGGUUAUCGUUUUAAGUUGUCACCGUCUUCUGGAGGAUCUUCACAGAACUGGGUUCUUGAUAGACGGUGGUGAGGCUUAAAUGAUGUCUUUUAUGUGCUCUUAUUUUCCAUUAUAUCAUUCUCGAAACUUUUUAGCUCAUUUCCUGGAUUCUUCUUGAAUGGUUUAAUCAAUAUUUUAUAUCAUUUUAAAUUGUUUUUCAUUUGUAUUAUCUCCAUGAUCCUUUUUAUGAUUUUUAUUAAUCUUUUCUAUCAUUUCAUCAGAAAAGUCUUUUUCUUCUCCGAUUAAAUUUCCUAAUUUAAUAUACUGUUUUUCAGGAUUCGGAAUUUCUUCUAAUUAAUUAUUAGAACUUCUUCCUAUAUUAAACAUAAAUAUAUAUUCAUCGUUACUAUCAGAAUCUGUUUCUGAUAUUAACUCAUAUAAAAUUUCUUCAGGAUUUGUUUCCUUUUGAUAACAUAUUUCUAAAUCUUGUUCUUCAAGACUUUUAAUUCUUUUUCCAACUUCUUUUCUUUUGGUAGAAAAGUUUUUGACUAUAUAAUCUAUUUUAUUAUCUAAAAUAUCUUUAAGUUCUUUAGAAGUUUUUCUUCUAGAAAACUGAUCUGUAAUAUAACCAAAAAAAAUUUUAUUUUCUAGUUUCCUUUUGACUUGUUUAUUAUAUUUUUUCUUUUUAUGCCUAUGAUGAGUAUUAGGUUUUACACCUAACCAUCCAAGUGAAGUUUUAUUAAUACAUUCUCUAUUUUUAGGAUUUUUCUCAUUAAUAGCUAAAUUUUUUAUAUUACUAGUCAACAUAUUGGUUGUAUAUUGAACUUUACUUAAAUCUUUAAUCAAAUAAUCAUCUGUUUGACUAUCUGAUUCUAUUUUUCUUUUUCAAUAUGGAUCUGGUGGUUCAGUAUCCAUAAGUUCUGGAAUAUUUAUAAUUGGGGGUUGAGAGUAUGAGCGGAAGGGAAUAUAGACUCUUUAUUAACAAAAGGAAAAUGUUACAAAAGAUAAAACUCAAAAGAAAAGUAUUUGGUAAUUUACAAGAUGUUAUACAAUUGGGCUUUCCUCCCUAUUUAUAGAGGAAUUCUAAAAAUUCUAUACAAUUGUAUUUUGAAUCCCGAACAGUGUUUCUGAUAAGGAUCCGGCUUCUUUGUGGAUGUGGUUGCUUCCACGUCUCCAUCUUUUUGCAUGGCUAUGGUUGAUUAAUAUUAACUCAUAUAAAAUUUCUUCAGAAUUUGUUUCCAUUUGAUAACAUAUUUCUAAAUCUUGUUCUUCAAGACUUUUUAUUAUUUUUCUAGCAUUUUUUCCUUUAUUAGGACAAUUACUAGCUACAUGACCAUCUUCAUUACAAAUAAAACAUUUACAAAUUUCUUUCUUUGGUUUGAAAGUCUUUUUCCUAACCACUUUUUGAUUUUUACCAGAGAAUUUUUUAUUACCUAGUUUCCAUUUUCUUAAUCUAUAUUUUUUACGUUUUUUAUAAGUGUUGGGAUAUAUUUGUUUACACCCAAAUUCCCAUUCAUUUUCUAAAAUUUUAGAACAAUAUUUAUGACUUAACUUAUUUUUGACUUGUUUAGCCACUUUACUUUGCAAACAAUGUAAAGUUAUUCUUUCUUUAAGAGUACUUAUUUGAAUAUAAAAAUAAUAGAAAAAAUCAUCAUUUUUUAUGAUGGUUUGUAGUAAAGAUUUAACAACUGCUGGAAAAUCUUUUAAAAGAUGAACAGAAAGAUUUUGUACUACUAUUUCUCUAACAAAUCCCCAUUCGAUACUUGUUAUAUCAAACGGUUCAUGAUCCAAUCUAAAUUUUAUAGCUGGAUAUUCUUUACUUAUAAAAUAAAGUCUUAAUCAAGUCUUAAUCAUCAUUAAAACAAUGAUGAUGUAAGCAGUGACAAAAGCGGCCGUGACACAAGCAGUGACAAAAGCGGUCAUAAAUGCAAGCAUGACACAUGGAAUCAACCAUAGCCAUGCAAAAAGAUGGAGACGUGGAAGCAACCACAUCCACAAAGAAGCCGGAUCCUUACCAGAAACACUGUUCGGGAUUCAAAAUACAAUUGUAUAGAAUUUUUAGAAUUCCUCUAUAAAUAGGGAGGAAAGCCCAAUUGUAUAGCAUCUUGUAAAUUACCAAAUACUUUCCUUUUGAGUUUUCUCUUUUGUAACCUUUUCCUUUUGUUAAUAAAGAGUCUAUAUUCCCUUCCGCUCAUACUCUCAACCCCCCCGAUUGGUAUCAGAGGUGCCGGUGUAACAAGUUUCUGGAGAAAUAAUAUCGUAAUAUUUAUUGUAAGUUUUUGUCUUUGAUUUACAUUUCUGUUUGUUUUACAGUUGUUUGUUUCAAAACCCAUAUCUGUUUAUCUGUCUUCUUGUUGCCGUUGAGUCCAGGGAGGACGUUAGGCGUUGUGUGAAGACGUUAGGAUAACAGGCCGGUCUUAGGUACUCGAGACAAACAUUAUGGAGCAAAUCGAGUGUCAAUUUAAAGAUAAAACUUGUGAUCAUAUUACGCAUAUAGACUCUAGAAACGAAAACAACGUUUCAUCUCUGAGUAAGGGUAUUAAUAGUCUUGUUGAUAUGACUUCUUUUUAUUUUGGUAGGUUAUUUAGUAAAGUAAGUUCUGUAGAAGAAAAAAUAAAUAACUUAGGUAAUAUAAAAGAUUUAGACUUAAACCAUGAGUCUAAAGAAAUAUUAACUAGUGUUAAUAAUAAACUAGAUCAGGUUUUAAAUAAUAAUAUCGAGUCCGAUGUAAAUUUAGGUCCUUUAUAUUACGGUAAUAGUCAAGAUCAUAUUUUUGUUUUAUCUGAUGAAGAAAACACUUCAUCUGAUGAGUUGUCAUCUAUGUUAAAAAAUUAUAAAAAACAUAAAAAAACGUAAAAAAGAUGAUACACGAAUAUGAUUUCCAGUCUUAUAAAACACUUAUAGAACAUUGGAAAGAAAAAUUUACUACUAGUAAUGAUCAACUAGAAAGAGUUGAAUAUUUAAAACUAAUUGAAGAACUUUAUGAAAAACAUAAAGAUCUUUUUAGUAUGUUUAAUUAUCAUUAUAUGUUAAAAUAUGAUGAUAGUAGUAGUUCGAGUAAUUCUGAAAAAACAGAAUUAUAUAAGAAACAAUCUGAUGAAGAAAAAACUUCAACAGAUCAGGAUGAAGACAUAAAAGUCUCAACUUAUAAUUCUAAUGAAGAAACCACUUCAUCUGAAGAAGUAGACGAAGAAAUAAAUAUUCCAGAACUUAUGGAUACUGAACCACCAGAUCCAUAUAGAAAAAGAAAAAUUGAGUCAGAUAGUCAAACAGAUGAUUAUUUGAUUAAAGAUAUAAGUAAAGUUCAAUAUACAACCAGUAUGUUGACUAGUAAUAUAAAAAACUUUACUUGAAUGGUUAGGUGUAAAACCUAAUACUCAUCAUAGGCAUAAAAAGAAAAAAUAUAAUAAACAAGUCAAAGGGAAACUAGAAAAUAAAAAAUUUUCUAGUCAUAUUAUAAGUCAGUUUUCUAGAAGAAAAUCUUCUAAAGAACUCAAAAAUAUUUUAGAUAAUAAGAUAAGUUAUAUAGUCAAAAACUUUUCUAACAAAAGAAAAGAAGUUGAAAAAAGAAUUAACAGUCUUGAACAACAAGAUUUAGAAAUAUGUUAUAAGAAGGAAAUAAAUCCUUAUAAAAUUAAAUCUGAUAAAAAUGAAAAAAUAUUUUUAUUAGAAAAUUCUAUAAACAAUAGAAUAAAAAAAGUACAGACUAUUAUCCAACAAAUGAAAAUUGGGAAAAAUGAUAUUAGUACUUUUUCAAAUUUUCAACCUAAAAAAUACUAUACUUAUAUUGAAAUUAAUUUUCAAUUUAGAGAAUAUAAAAAAUAUUCUUUACAUGCAUUAUUAGAUACUAGAAUAUAAAAAAUGAUGACUUUUUCUAUUAUUUUUAUAUUCAAAUAAGUACUCUUAUUGGUAUUUCUGAAAAAGAAAGAUUUUUUCAGCCAUAUCAAAUAUGGGAAAUUCGCAGAAUGCUCGGAAGCCCCCGACUAUCAGCUGUAAAUGAAGAUAAAGAAUACUUGGCAAAAACAAUUGACAAGUGUCAAGAAAAUUCAAGUUGUUAUCAAAUCCAAGCCGGUGUUGAUUUAAUGGCUAAAGCUAAAUAUCUUCUUCAAGAAAGAAAUUAUCAAUUCAGAACUGAUGGAAGAAGAAUAUUAGCAUAUCAUUCAUAUCUUAUUGAAGAAAAUGAUGAAGGCAUCAAUCUGCUAAAAAAGAUAGCAGACAUGAAUAUAGAAGAUUUUCCAUCUAACAUUCUGCAACAAAUCAGAAGUACAUGGGAAAAUUAUCAUCAAUAUAUAUCUACCAUUCAUCAUCUUGAGGGAUGAAUUAUGAUGGAAGCAACCGUUAAUCACAUCAAGAUAGAUUGAUGAUGCAAGCAAGAUGGAAGCAACCAUUAAUGCUUGAUAAAAACAUCCAGAUGAAGACAAAAAGUCUUAAUCAAGUCUUAAUCAUCAUUAAAAUAAUGAUGAUGUAAGCAGUGAUAAAAGCGGCCGUGACACAAGCAGUGACAAAAGCGGUCAUAAAUGCAAGCAUGACACAUGUAAUCAACCAUAGCCAUGCAAAAAGAUGGAGACGUGGAAGCAACCACAUCCACAAAGAAGCCGGAUCCUUAUCAGAAAUACUGUUCGGGAUUCAAAAUACAAUUGUAUAGAAUUUUUAGAAUUCCUCUAUAAAUAGGAAGGAAAGCCCAAUUGUAUAGCAUCUUGUAAUUUACCAAAUACUUUCCGUUUGAGUUUUCUCUUUUGUAACAUUUUCCUUUUGUUAAUAAAGAGUCUAUAUUCCCUUCCGCUCAUACUCUCAACCCCCCCCCCCCGAUUAUGUACUACUAUAAUGAUUAUUUAGUAAAAAAUUUACCUCAACUAAGGGUGUAUGUAAUUGAGUCGAGUCUAAGCAGAAAGAAGCUUGAGUUUAGAAUCAGUUUUGAAACCCGUUUUGAGUUUCUUUAAUGGCGAUUUAAUUUAAGAUUCAAAAGUAGUAUUUAAAUUGGUUUGGUUAAUGAUGGUUUCUAUCAUUCGGCUUCAGAGUUGGAUCUAAGUAGGAGUAGUUCGAGUUAAGGCUGAGUUUGAUAUUUUGUGAUAAUAAAUAAAAUGAUCUAUUUGAGUGAGUUUGAUUAGGUUUGUUUGUAUAGUGAAUGGGAAAUUCAAUUAUCAUGUUCUACCUUUAAAUCCAAAGCUCAAUUUCGGUAUUGGUUAAAAUAAUAAUUUAUCUUAAAAAUAAAGAAUUUUAAUUAAGUUCUUAAGUUAUUUAAACUGAAUACAUAUAGGCAAUUUUUUCACUUUUAAUCAUGUCGUGGAGUAUAAGAACUUCUCAACUAGGUUUAUUACUUCUUUUGCCUCUUGUAUUAAUAUUUUCACUUUAGUCCUACUAAUUUUUAAAUGAAUAAAUUUAUUUUGCUCAUCAUUUUAGCCACACCAUCAUUUCUAUUUAAGAAAAUAGAGAGGGUUAAAAUAAGAAUUUCACUAUAAUAGACGAAUAUGUGAAUAAGUAGAAUAUAUUUUAACAAAAAUGAUCAAGAUGCGAACAUGAUGAACGAAAUGAAAGUAAAAUAAUCAAAAAUAAUAAAAUAUCAAAGUUUUCAGUUUUCACUAAGUAUUAAAACUUCUAUAUAUAUCAACAAAUAUUAGAGGGGGAAGAUACUUUGGUUAUCUCCGCCUAGCUUAAUAUGGUGUCAAAUAUUAAAAUAGGAAUAAUCAGUAACAAAACGUGUCAUUUAAUCAUUUAUAAUAAAGUUCCAAGCAAACAAAAAUUUUCACUACAUCAAAACUGGCAAAGCAGCAGUAAAAUGAAAUUCCAUUUAAAAUCCAUGAAAGUUUGUAUUUCUCUGUAAUCAACAGGCUUAUUAUUCAAGCACUUAUCAUAAUCCUACCCUAUAGACCAUUCGUCUUAACAAUGAAACUUUCACGAGCUCCCGAGACCUGAUUCCCCACCUUUCAAAUGAUCAAAUCAUAAGUUCUUAAGAGCUGACUCAUGAGUUGCUUUCUGGGGUGUGAGUCUUGCCAACAAAGCCUUGUUAUGGCAAUGCUCAGCAUCUACAAAGUAGAAGUUCCCAUUGGCCUUAAAUGUCACGAAUGGCCUGUUGGUCUCGGCUGGACGGAUGUCUGCAAACUUAAUGGUUCGUGGAAUAUAUGUUGCUAACCAAGACAUCAUCUCCACCUCAAAGCUGUCUGAACCAGGCUGCCACCGGAUUUUGUGGAUGUAAGGGCUCACGAACCAGUGAAGUGCGGCAGUUGUUGUAGCACUAAGGAAUAUCACAGAGGAUGCUACUGCACCUUUCACAAUCACAUUCAUAUCAGGAGAAGUCAUGAAUGUAAUGACAGGGCCUAACGAUACCGAGAGGCAGCAGGUCGAAAGUGAAAGCAUCUUUACUUUCUUGAUUGUAGAAGAAAUCGGACCGUGGUAAACAACCCCGGCAUCCUUCUCAUUUUCGUCGUCUUCUUUGCUUUUACGAGGACCAAUGCUGAUUUUGUUGUCAUCCUCAGUUGUCUUAGCUUGAGAAGCCCAUCUUUUUUGGACACUGAAAAUGCUCGUUGCAUAGUUGAGGUUCGGCUUUGCAUAUUGGGUGCCAGACAGUGUUGCAAACCUACAACGAUAACCUAAAGCAGCGGAGAGAAGAAUAAGCAAGAGAAAAUGAUAUUGUCGCUUAUAUACUAUAAUUAUAGUAGAAAUAACAUCCAAAUCAUAGAACGCUAACAAGAAUCAUGACUGAAACAAGAUUUCAUGAAUUGUGUAUUAACAUGGAUUCAUGGAACUGUUGACCAUAACAUAUUAUUCACAAUCAAAUGACGCAGAAAUCAUGUAUACCUUUCCUGCAAUAAAAAACUAAGUUUUUGGUUACAAUUUUCAACUUAAUCCAUGGCAGCCUUCCUGAGUUGUACAUUUUCAUAGUUAGAGUCCUAUACAUUUUGAAGUUUGCUUCAUUACAGCUUGUGGAACAAAGGACAAAGGAUACUAAAGAAUUCAAGAAUCAUCAAAUCCCUGAUCUUUUCUCAUAUCCAGAAAAAAUGGGGUGGUUUAACUGUCUAGGAGUGGGGAAUGAUUCUAAGAAACAAAUUCUGAAUGUGGUUGGACAGGUAGAUCAAAUGCCAUAGUGACGAUAAAACACUAGUCACAUACAUCUAAUUUCACGAAAGAGAACUAUAAGCAAAGCAUAAGUAAUGGCAAAUUGAUGCCAAUUACAAGCAAACAUUUGCAAGCAUCAAGUUGGAGAAAGAUUUUCAUGAAUGAUUCAAUGAUGUGUGACAUUUCUUGUUUUUCGUACGACCAUACAAGAGCAGACAAAUGGUUUGGUUUUACAUGCCAAAGCUAUAAACCACCGGCUAAACGUACACAAGAUUAGACCUGGCAACUUUAGAUAUGACACGAGAGAAACAACUAAAAAUGACAUGAAAAAGUAAUGCAAAAUAUAACUUGGAUACACAAAUGAGCCAAACUCUAUAGAACACUAAUUACUAUAAAAUAUAUAACAUGCACGAGAUUAUGACAGAAAAAUAACACAAACACUAGAUGAUAUAAGCCAUCUUGGUCAAUAAAGGGAAAUUUUCAUGUAGGAUUCAAAGAUGUGCAACAUUUCUUGCAGUUUAUCAUACAAUAACACCCUCACUGCCCGACCUUGAGCAAUGGCGCUAUUGAUACUUGCAAGUAAACAGUUUGGUUUCACAUACUACAGCUAGAAAACACUAGCUACACCUUACUCUAAGAUUAAAACUGGUAAUUUUAUAUACAACACGAGAAAAAUAUCUAAAACAUGACAUGAAAUGGCCUGACUCAAAGAUAUGCUAAGUUUAUUGGUCUUUUUCAAAAACUCUAUCAUACAAUAACUCGAAGCCAUCACCCUUCUGCUUGGUCUUGAGCCAUGAAGCUAUAACAACUGAACUUGCAAGCAGUGAUUUGGUUUCACAUAAUAAUAGAGCUAUAAAACACCAGCUAAACCAAGACUAGAUAAUAAGGAUAUACGAAUGCGUCAAAAUCUAAAUAAUGUAAAUAAUUAACAUGUCAAAAUUUAUAUAAAAUAUGUAAUAACUUUAACACAGAAAAUAACACAAAUACUUGAUGCUGUAAACGAUUUCAGUCUUAUCGCAACACCAAUUCGAGUAGAUAAAGCACUUUACAAACUGAACCACUUCCUAUAACUAAAACCAAUUAAGAUUUUGGGUAUCUUUAAUUCUAAAAUUUUCAAAAGCCCAGAAUAAAAAUUGGCAAAUUCCAACAACAUAAAAACUAAAUCAUUUUUCCCUUACAUGUAUGAGUUUUUGUUAAUAAAACCCAAUUUCCAGAUCAAAGGAAAUGCCCCAAAUUUCAAAGAUUGAGAUCAGAAAUAGGAUUAACAAACAUGGGUAUUGAGGUUUUAGACUAAAUCAGAUGUUUAAACUUCACAUCUAAAACGAAUGAAGAACAAAACAGAAGGGGGGGUUCCUAAAUAAAGAAAAAGAGAACCUGAAUGGAUGUUUCUGGAAAUGAGUUGCUUGGAUUGGGAUCGAAGCAAGUGGAAGAGAGCAGUUCUCGCCAUAUUUCUAUCGGAUUUUGCAGGGAGACUGAAAUGUGUGAAUCGAACAAGGAUUCAUCUUGUAAGGGUUUUAGAUGGUUUUUGUAAUAUGUGAAUAUUUAAAAUAAUCUUUGGAAAACGUACUUCAACAAGGACAUUUGGUCUAGUGGUAUGAUUCUCGCUUAGGGUGCGAGAGGUCCUGAGUUCAAUUCUCGGAAUGCCCCAUUUCUUAGUUUUAUUAAGGGUAAAUUCCACACUAGGCCACUAAACUAUUAGUGAAUUUACAUUUUGGUUGUUCAAUUUUAAAAGGUUAUCACUGAAUUAUUCGAAAAUUUUCAUUUAACUCAUUGAGUUGUUAAAUUCAUUGAUGUAUGGCCUUAUUUAUUCAUACCGCAUUCACUAGUCAAAACUUUCCUUUCUCUUCUCUUUUACAUUUCAAUUUUUUAUUCAUUAAACAAUUUUGAACGUUAUGAAUCUACGAAUCAAAAUCCAAACAACUUUCUUUUCUAAUCUCCGACACUAAUCGUCAAAUCAACUUGGAUCUAUGUUUUUCUACUCGUCGAAGGGUAUUGAUCCAUUGUACCAAUCGUUGAAUUAAGUGACCAAAAUGGUCACUUGGAUCUAUGUUCUACAAAGUGGUCACUUGAAGCUUGCUAGAUAGGCUUUAAAAAAUAAUAAUAUUAGUUUAUUGACUUAAAUAAAAACUUUUGAAUAGUUCAACAAUCAUUUUGUAAUUUUUUGAAAAUGAGUGACCAAAAUGUAAACUUACUAAUAAUUUACUAAUCUUGGGGUAAUUUACCCAAAAAAGUAUUUAACUUCAAAAAAAUUAUUAUUUGUUAAUCAAAUAUAAUAAAACAACUCAAAGGAAUUUAGUUUAUGCAAAAACAAAAGAUAUUUAACUUCAUUAAUAUUAUUCGUUAAGAAUAAGUAAAGAUACAACACUGAAAUAAAACCAUUAAGUUCAAAAAACACUAACAUAAUAAUGGCCUAAAGACUAGAAAAAGCUUCAACCCCAAAACCCUAGCUAUAAUUUUUUUGUCGCCCCCGCCACAAGUAGAGGAAGAGGGAGAACACUAGGAAGAAAGAGGGUAGUGGAGGUUGCACCAAGCCAUUGGCACGCAUGCCUAUUGAUAAGAAUAGGAUAAUUCCUAUAAAUUUUAUCGUAUUUAUAUUGCAGUAGUCACGUAAAAAUAAGAAAGAUAUAUAAUAUAUUAUUAAAUAUACACUUAAAAAAUAUAUGAUAAUAUAUAAUAUAUUUAGAUAUUCUUAAAAGAUAAUAUCCCAUAAUAAUAUUCUAAUAACUACAAAUAGAGGCGACGUUGCAGUAAAAGUUUGUUGAAAAGGCACCAAAAUCAUUGUGAAGUAAGCCAAAACUUCAACUGAGGAGGAACGUCAAGGUAGCCACUUAGCCUUCGACCACUAGAAUAAGUUCUCAUGCAUAGACUCGUAACCUCCCUCAAGCUUCAUUCGUUGAGAUCCCAACAGAGAAUAAUAAUACCCAUAAAACUUGAAGAAUAAAGCUUUAGUGUAUCGAAACCCAUAAAUGAAAGGUAAAACCCAAAGAGACUAGAAACAACUCUUAAGUAACAAGCAGGGGUGAAGUCUAAAAUUUUUUUUAGUGGCCGAAAUUAUAUUGUAAUUUUUAUUAUAGUAAAAAUGUAAUUUUUGAAAGAUUAAAUCAAAAUAUUAUCAUUUUUAAGGAGGUCAAAGUGUAAUUUUACUUUUACCAAUUUAAAAUUUUAAAGGGUCAAAAUAGAAAAUUCUUCAUUUUAGGGGGGGCCGGGCCCCUGGCCCCUGCCAGCCCUCCUGAAUUCGCCUUUGGUAACAAGGCAAAACUUGAUGGUUGGAAAAAUAAUAGUGUUAUUUCGUUGUAAGAAAAACAAGAAAAGAAAAUAAGACAAAAAACUAAUUUUUUUUAAAAAACUAAAGGAACUAAAUUUUAAAUACAUUAAGAAUAUAAGAAUUCGGCUAAACUUGCUUAUGGGCCAUGUCACCCAUUCAGGCUCGAAGGUCCACUCGAAAAAUAGAUUUGGAUAAUAUUUAAGGCUUGUUUUCUAUAUGGACCGAGUAUUGGGCAAAAUUUUUGACCUAAACCUGGCCCAGCUUGACCCGAAUAUUAUGCUAUAAAACAAUAUUAUAUUAAUUAUAUAUGUUAAAUAAUAAUUAUAUAUAUUUAUAUUUAUAUUUAUAUUAAAUCACUAAUCCAAUAACAAUUAAACCUAUUGCUCAAGACCUAAAAAAUUUACCCAACUAAAUAACUUACCCAAAAUAUAAAAUUUUAAAAUUUAUAUUUAAUACAAUAAAGCAUUUAUUAUUUUAUUUAUUUUUUAAUGUAAUAAAACAUUUAUUACAUUUAGGAAAGUAUUUUUUUAAUAUAAAUACUUCUUAAUGUGUUAGAAAACUUUUGUUUUAGCUUUUUUUAGUGCACUUAGUGUAUUAUAUUUUUUUUAAAAAUUAAAUAAAAAUUAAUCUAAAAAAAUCAAAUAUAGACCGAUCAAGUCAAGCUCAAGUUUACUUUUCUUAAAUCUAAAAAAGUAAACUCAUUUUUUGGACCGAAUCUAGACUUAAAAAAGUGAUCUAAAUACCUUAUAUAAGCCUAACCUGAACCAGAUCUGGUCCAUAAACACCUCUCGUUUACCUAUAUUAUUUUUUAUAUUUUUUUCAGUAAAAAAAAUUAUAUUGUUAUGGUUGUUUAUACGUAACUAUGAAAUAAUUAUUUUUAAAAAAAUGAAAUAAUAAAACUUAAAAAAUUUCACACAUUAAUUAAAACCUAAAUUAAUUUAUUUGGGGGCCCAUAUACUACCCGGCCCAUGUAAAUUCAAUCCUAUCAUCUGUGAAUGUGUUAUCUAAUUUACCCAAAUUCAAUUCGGGUCACACUUUCGGAGGUAAAAUCGGCCAUUGAAGCUUCAAAAUAUGUCGAACCAUUCGCGAACUCAGUCUCUGGUCUUCGGGAUACCUUGGCCUGAACUCAACGAUGGCUUAUUCUAUAGCGACGUCGUUCCACAUUCCGAUUCCGGUCACUAAAUUCAUUUGUUCUCCUCCUUUUUCCUUUAAAUUAUGUUUUAUUUUUUAAACUGAAUAUUUUUCAUCUCUCUCUCUCUGUUUUGAUUUUAUAGAGCUUACUUUAAUAGAUUUUUACUCAAGGAAGUACAAAAAUUCAGCUCCUUUACAAGGGUAAUUUUAAAAAUUCUUUUAUAAUUAUAUCAAAUUUUCAAAAUUUUAUUUGUUAAUUCUCUUUUCCAAAUCAUUAACGAUUGAACAGUUGGUUGCAGCGAAUUCAAAAUGGACAGGUAGGUUUCUGAUAAAAAGAAUUAAGUAAUUAAUAAAAAAACAAAAAAAAAAUCAAUUUUUUGCUUUUUUUUUCAGAUAUCAGUUGAUGGAAGAGUCGUUAAAGAUCCAAAUACGAUUCUCAGGUUUUUUUUAUUUUUAAAAUUUCGUUCUAAUCAUUAUUUUCCAAUUUAUGUUAAUUUUUUUAAUUCAUUUUUUCUUUUUUCUUUUUUUUCAGUGGUGAUUCAGUUUUAGUUUACCAUAGGCUUCCAUGGAAAGAACCUGAUGUUCCUCACUUGCUUGAAGUUCUAUACGAGGAUGAUGACAUGGUAAAUUAAUUAUUUUAAUUAUGUUUGGUAAAAAUAGAAUAAAAUCUGAAUACUGGAGUGUUUUUUUUAAUUAAUAUUUAAUCAUGAUUAGUUCAACUUUUAUAAUCCAAGAACAAGUAGGGGAAGAUAUGAACUUUAAUUUCCUUUUAAUAAAAUCAUUACCCGAAACUUCAAAAUGUCUAAAUUGCUAUGAAAUAUUAAGGUUAUCAGGGCUCAGGACUUGGGGUGUCAUUGUCAUACGAGUAUGUGUGUAAGACAGGUACACUUAAUUUUUAUUAAGCUUUUGCAUAAAUUCGGAGGACCAUUUUCAUAUGUUGUAACCAUAUCCAAGUAUGCCUAGUCCUACAUGCUAUUUUAGAGUAAAUGAAGCGUUCGGGGUAAUAUAGGAAGAAAAAAACAAACAAAAAAAAGAUGAACUCAUGAAUUUGUAUGCAUAUAUUUUUGUUUAUGACUGUACCAUCUUUAAUCUAUGAUGCUCGGACAGGCACAUGUUCUGGUGGUUAUUCCAUAUCUUUAGAGAGUCGACAUUUUCAUUUUCCCAGUCCAUUCUGCAACAUACACAUCAUACUUUUAAGAGAAAACUUAACAGUCACAGUGACAUAAUUGUAAUCUAUAUUGCUCAAUCUCUUCAUUUUCUACAUUAAGUACACUGGAGUUUGGUUAAAAUUUCUUGUUAACAAAUUAUUACUACCAAAUUCUAGUAUCGCAUUUGGAACUAGAGUUUGACGUUUGAUGUAAAUUGAAAUGUUUAUGUUUAGGUUGCUUUAAACAAGCCUUCUGGUCUUCAAGUUUUGCCUGGAGGCCUUUUCCAGCAACGAACUGUUUUGACACAGCUUUGUUGGAGUGUAAAGAAGCAGAACUCUACACUAAACAGUCAAGAAACACAUCCUGUUCCUGUUCAUCGCCUAGGAAGGGGCACAUCAGGUUCGCAUACCCAUUAUUGCCUACUCGAUGUGGACAACAUGACCAAAGCAUUAUAUUUCUUUAUGUCAUUGCUUACUUGUGCAUUGCCUAGGAAGGUGUUAGUCAGUUUCGUAUACUCGUUACUUCUUACUUGAUGUAGAUAACAUGACAAAUGCAUUAUAUUUCUUCAUGUUAUUGCUUACUCAUGCAUCACCUAGCAAGGGGUACAUCAAGGUUUGCAUGCUCAUUAUUGCUUAUUCAAUGUAGACAGCAUGACCAAGACAUUAUAUUUCUUCAUGUUACUACUUACUCUUGGAUCGCCUAGGAAGGGAUACAUUACAUUUGCAUACUCAUUGCUGCUUACUCAUGCUGACAACAUGACCAAGGCAUUAUAUUUCUUCAUGUUAUUGCUCGAGAGUAAGACGUAAAGCAAAGGCUAGGAAGCAAUAAAUGGAGAAAUAAAAAGCUAAUGUUGUAUUUCUUUUGCAUCUGCAUACUCUAUCUUGAGUUGACUAAAAAAUCUGGCAAUAGUUUGUUGCUGUUUAAGUAACUACUAUUUUAUUGUUUCUUCCAUAGAUAACCAGUUAGCCUCUGUUACUUGGACUCUGAUGUCUGUCGGAUACUGGUGUGUCCGGCAUGGGUAUGUUCAAAAUUUUCUUUUCAGUUUUUCCAUAUAAUUAGCGGAUCCUAUAUCAGUACCCAUGUCCCAAUGUGUCAGAUAUGAGUGUCAGGCAUGGUACUUAAAGUAAAAUAUAAAGUCAGGGUAACAUAGCUGUUAGAAGUUUAUUGUUCUUGCUACGCGUUGUUUCUUGCCUGUUUAUGUGCUAUUUUCCUUUCCCUUAAUUUUCUAAUAAGUUAUGACCGACAUGAAUUCUGAUUAUUAUUGUUGUUGUCAUAUUUUUGUGGGUUGAUCUCUUGCUGGUUGGCUUCUAGGAAUAUUACUUUGUGCAAAGACAAAAGUUGCUAAAACUCGCCUUGCAGCAUAUUUUGCUGAUGGAACAUCUCUUGUUGGAGCUACCAGGUAGCAAAGGAAACCAAUUGGUAUCAUACUAGUUUCCACUUACAGUUUUGACUGUGUUACUUGGACAUUGGUGAGAGUGUUAGAUACAUGCAUGUGUCUAUUAUGGGUAUGUUUAGCUUUUUCUAAGUUUUUUAAUAUAUUUGAAAGGUUCUAGGAGGAUCAUGUAUCCCCAUUCCCCAUGUCAGAUAAUCUAUCAGACAUAAGUUUCGAACAUGGAUCUUUUAAGAAAAAUAAGUCAAAGCAAUAAAGGCUUUUCAAGUGAAAAAUAACUAUUUUUAUUACUGGUAGCUCUUCUUAAAUAAAUAAUAAUUUUUUACAUAAGUUUCUUUCAGACCUGAUUAUUAGAAAUUAAGCUUCAUGUCUCAGUUAGUGAUUUUUGUUGCAAGUUACAGUAACUAUGUUGAAAGAUUCUGUAAUCCCCAAGUAUCUGAAAAUAAGUUUAAGUCUAAAUUCAAUGGGAAUUUAAAGAUGAUAAUGAAGGAAUUUCACUAUAUGAUGGAGUAAAAAAAAAAAUGAAGUUAAAUGUACAUAGUUUGAUGUUGUCAAAAUUCCCAAAGAAAACUUGCAAUAGCUUGGAAGAAAGUAAAAGGCAUUGGAAGAACAGCGGCAAUAUGAGUAGAGCCAUUAGUGGCUCAGGAAGUUACUGAUGAUUUUUAGUUAAAAAGAGCAACUUUAGGCAAAGCAGUGUAUUUAGUUCUCAAUCAUUUUACUUGGACUCAGAUGUGAGUGUUAAAUACGAGCAUGUACCCGAAAAAGGUAUGAUCAGAUUUUUCUAGGAUUUUCAUGUAUUUGGAGGGUCUUUGAAGUCAUAUCCAUUUGUCAAAGAUGAAUGGCAGACACAGGUAGUUAAACGAAAAUGAUGAGUUAGAGCACAUGGGUUAAAGUUAGACCAUUGAAGAAAGGAAUAUUGAAGUGCAAUGGCAUGUGGUUUACUGAUUAAGCUAUGUGAUAUAACUAGCUUGAGUAAUGAAGAUGGAAUAAUUUGUUAAAUCUACGGUACAGAUUGAAUCAUGUCAUUUUAGAGCUUUCCUUUUAUAUUUAUAAUUGUAUUACUCAGACUCAUGUGUAAGUGUUGGAUACGAGUAUGUGCCCAUCAUGUUCAAUUUUUUCUAAAUUUUUCAUGUAUUUUGGAAGGUCCUUGGAAGGUUAUAUCUCCAUAUUUAUGUCCAAAUGUGUCAUACAUGGGUUUCGGGCAUGGAUACAUCAAGCAAAAUUAAAAGUUUGAGUAACAUAGAUUUAUAAACCUCUUUCCAAAUUUUAACCAUAUGUAAUUUCUGCCGACUGUUCUUACAUGUACAGUAAUAGGAAAGCUGCACGAAGUGGUACCAGGAAAAUAUCAAAGAUAUACCGAGCACUUGUGACUGGCAUACUUGUUGAUGACAAGGUAAUCUUACAGAAUACUUUUGCUCAUAAGAAUGACUAUGGCUUCUUAUUUCUAUUUGUGUUUUAUCCUUAUAAACACAUAAUAUUGGUGAAUUUGGUCAUCUGCAUCCACUGACCUUGCAUCUCAGUUGAAAAUUUUCAUGGCAUAAAGGCUUUAUGUCAAUUGAAUAAUGUUUUUGCAUCACAGGUUAUCAUUGAUCAGCCUAUUGGAAUUGUGCGAUAUCCCGGAGUGGCCAAAGGACUAUAUGUUGCUUCACCCUCAGGUUUGUUUGUAUCUAACAUCAUCUGUUCAACAGAUAUCAUCUUUGAAGUUCAAUAUAGUUUAUAAACCAUGGAUUUAAAGGACCAGUACUGGCUUUUCAUGAAGUUUUAGACACUGAGUUGUAAGAUUUAGUCUAUGUUACUUGGGCUCGAGUGUGAGUGUUGGGUACGAGUAUUUGUCUAUCAAGGGUAUGGUCAGAAAUUUCUUUAGUUUUUUCAUGUAUUAAGAGGAUACUUGUAGGUCAUAUCUCUAUAUUCAUGUGUCGGAUACGAAUGUUGGACAUGGGUAUUUUAAAAAAGAUGAAGAAUCAGAGCAACAUAGGAUCGAGUUACUUUUUCAUGAUGUGCUUGUACACUGAGCUUAAGUAUCUGUUCUGUUAUUGGCUUGUAAUUUGUCACUUUUUUUUUUACUUAUUAGGGAAGCCUGCUUUGAGCAAAGUUGAAGUUCUUGAGAGAGAUGAGAAACAAAACUGCACAUUGGUUCAGGUAUGUGUGACCAUGACUAUUUAGGUGGUUAUGAAGAAGCUUAGAUAGAUUUUUGUUUUAAUUUGCUUUUACUAAUGUUUUAAGUUACGUGUUUGACAGGUUGAGAUUGAGUCGGGACGGCCUCACCAAAUACGGAUUCAUCUUUCGUUCAUAGGGCAUCCCUUGUUGGGUAAGAACUGAAGUAUUACUUUGUUUAUAUAAAUUCAAUAGUGAAUGAAAUCUUUGAGUUCUUUUUUUAACUUAAUGCAGCCAUUUCUAAACGAAAAUGUGCCACAAAUGACAUUUACAUUUCUCUGACCAUUUUUAUUUAAGCAUCCAUGUCCACACAUUUUGGGACAUGGUUAUGGGUAUGACCCUCCAAAUACGUGGAAAAAACCUGUCUUGGACAAAUACUAUAAGAUACUCACAUCUGAGUUUAAAUAACAUAUAAUGGUGUGUUGUAUAGAGGCUGUUGUUGUUGUUGUUCAACUGAUAUGUUUUCGCCAACUUAUCAGGUGAUCCGCUGUAUAUUGCUGGGGGCGAACCAAGGUGUUUUGACCCUGAGCUUGUUGAUGAAAGUUUUGCACAAGAUGGGUAUGACUACAUUUGCUUGCAUUUCCUUCCUGAUCUUGUAUGAUUAAUACGAUGAUAAUAGCAUCUUCUCUUCUGUAUGAACUUUUACUGUGAUUUAGAUUUACCUUAAAGUUUGAUAUCUAACUUGUAGAUACCAUAUUUUGUCUGAGUCAAAUCUCAAUUUGUAACCAAGUUAUGAGAGAUGGUUGAGGGUUUGUACCCAUUAGGCACGAUGUGACAUAACUCUUAUUAGUAUCUGUGGCAUUGUUUGAUUGACCUGUCUCACAUAUUCGGGUAUAAGUAUGAGAUGUGAUCAUCUACACUUGUAAAUACAUGACAAAACCAUAGAAAAAAAAAUUAAACAUAUCCUUGCUGGAUGAGAAAAAUAGGUUAAUGAGGUACUUUGUUUAUUAACCAUAGUAGAUGUUUAAUUACCUAUGUAUUAUUAAGUUGAGAGUUGAACAAACCUCAGUUGGUGCUCAAAUUAUGAGCGAUGGUUAAGGUUUGUACCCACUUAAGUGCGUUGCGACAUAACUUGUUAGUAAAUAAUAGUUAUUCAUAAUCUCUAAGCUCGUAUGUUCUCGUUUAGCACUGUUUAAUUUACCCCUGUUACAUCUUUGGACAUGGGUAUAGGAUAUAAUCUUCUUAGGAUCUUCCAAAUAAUAAUUAUUCGUGGUGAACAUAUAUCUGUAUAUGAUAUUGAUAUUAUUUUAGUUCUAGAAGUAUGCAAGCCUGGAAAUGAGUUACCGAACUGCCGAGUAUUUAAAAUUGUCAUGACAGAGGGUACCAGAGGCCUACGAACCCUGUACCAGGAGACUGCGGCUAUUACUUGCAUGCUCAUCGACUUGUUCUUUCGCAUCCAACCACAAAUGAGGUAAGUCCAUAAGUUACAAUGGUUUAACUUUUAUUUUUGGAAAUACUCUGUAUCCGAUGAUAUCUAAGGGUGAUAAAGGUCCGAUUUGGUUUCAAGGGAAAAAAAAGUGAUGUUAAUGCGUAGUAUUCUGUCUUUUAAAAGCUGAACCCAAAUUGAAUUGAAUGUCAUAGGUAACUGAACCGAAUUCUCUGUUCAAAUCAGUUCGGUUCUUUGUUUUUUUCGAACUUUUUGUCAAAAAUAUAUUCUGUAAAAUAUUUUAAAGGUUUUUUUUCACUCAUUUAGAAAUAAAAUAUCUAUUUUUAUAAUAUGAAACUUAAACAUUAAUUAUAAAAUAAAUUUUGGUUCAGUUCGGUUUGGUUCAAAUAAUGAGUUUUUUAACUUCUGAAUCAGAAACCGAACUAAAAAAAAAAAAAGAGUUUAUCUGAACUGAAAUCAAAAUCAAAAUUGAACCGAACACUAUGUUUCCGAGUAGUUUUUGAUUUUCUUGGUUUUCUGGCUCAGGUUUAUGCAUAUUUGAAAACGAGUGUGGGAAUAGAAUCUCUCAACAUAACCAUAUAUUGUGUUAGACACACACUUAAAUCCAAGUAACAUAGAUCAUAAGCAUAUGAAAUCGACAUUUGGUUUCCUAGUAAACAUGCACAUCUAUCCAUAUGCGUACCAUUUACUUUGAUUGUAAUAUCACUACUAUCUUCGUAACAAUUUACAUGUUCAUUGUUUACAUUCUUGUUGCAGAUGAUUUACAUCACCGCGCCACUUUCCACCAUCCUUCAAACGUCAGAUGAGGCCAACGGCUCGCCGGGAUCCGUAUCCAUCAACUCAGGUAAUUGAGAAAACAUCGCUCAUUUAAUGGCCUUUUCUACUGGCGAUGCCGGUAAAAUUCGAUUACUCGAUCAUCAAGAGUAGUGUUUUCUUUUUUAUUAGAAUUAUCAUCACGGGUAUAGAUAGGGGCAGGCAACGACCUUGGCCCCCAAAAAUGGUGAAACCACCAUUUAAACUCUUCAGGUUUUGUGAAAUUACAAGAUAAGACCUCUCAAAAAGUUAUAAAUCAUUUUUGACCCUCAAAACAAUUUUCUGAUUUCACCAUGUAUCAUCAUUUCAUGGGGAAGGGUUCCAAUAUCUAGUAAUCUUUGUAUUUAAGAUACUAUAGAUUAUAUAAAUCUUAAUUAUUAUAUAAAUAAUUUAUAUUCCUAUAAAAUAGGUUAUUUAAUAUAAUAUUUGUAGUAAGGAAAUAAUUUAAAACUUGACGUGUACGAAUUUCAUAGAUUGUGAAAAUAUUAAUAAUUUUCAGCGUUAAAUUAUUUACAUUAGUGCAAGUAAAUCUUCCAAUAUAUUUGAAAAGUAUAUGUAAUAUGGAUCAAAUUAAUUAAUUUUGUAUAUUUGAAUUUUUUAGGAUAUAUAUAUUAUAUUAUAAAAAAAGUUGUUAUUAGUACAAACAAUCCUCUAAUACUACUUAAAUUUUAGUGUUUCUAGAAAUUUUACAUGGAAGUAAAAUAAUAUUAUGUUUUCUUACAAUAUUUUCCUAACUUAUAUAUUUAUAGUUUUAUUAAAAUAUUAAUAAAAAUGAAAUGUAUUUUAAUUAACGCAUCAUCAUCUCAUGUAAAAUGGUUUUUAAUGCUAUCUAAAUUUUAAAAUUGUUUCUGUAAAAUUUAUAAAUGUAAUAUAAUCAAAAUAUUACAAAUAUAUUAUAUUUCAAAUAAUUUGUAUUAGCCCUGAAAUAAAUACUUUUAUUACCCAUUCGAUUUUGAUAUAAAGUUGAUCUGUAUGAGGAUUGGCAUUCCAUUAAGGUUUUUUUUUUUUUAAAUUCGAGUUAUCUCGAAUUAUUAUUCAAUAAUAAAAAAUAUUAAAUAAAAUUAAUUAUAAAAAUAGAUAAAAUUAUAUAUUUAAUAUUAAAUGAGUGGUAAUUUGGGCUUACGGGUCAAGUUGGGCAUAAUACGAGCAUGGGGCAAAAAAUGUAUUUUUCGCAACUUAAUUUGAGGCAAAUCUAGAUCAAGUUGGUUUAUAGCACGGAGGUUAUUCAGUCUAUUAAAGUAACAUUCUUAAGGUCUUCUUAUUUAGCAUUUAUCAAUCGUAUUUAGCAGAUUUUGUUGGAAAUAGUUCAACGGAAAUUUGUUCAUAUUCCUAGAGAAGAAAACAUAGAAGUUGAUCACAUCGCAAAGUUGGCUUUCGACAAGAAUGAGGGACUGCAGUUGUUUGCAGAGAAUUCGCCUAAUAGUAGUUUAACGUGAUUUUUUUGAUGGGUUAUCUUUUACACCAAAAAAUAUGAUUUAAUUAAUAGAUAACAUUUUAGAAUUUGAGUAUAAAAUAAAUAUCAAUUUAAAGCAUAUUUAAAUAAAUUUAUUGAAUUUUAAAUAAUAAAAGUUUAACCUAGAUUGUUACAAGGAAUUAAAUUAUUCAACUGUUGACAUAAAACUUACGUUUUUUACAUUUUUCACAUUUAACUCAUUUCCAUGUAAAACCUCAAAAAUUUUUUAUUGUAAAACCUCAUAUUUUUCCUUUCAUUAAAAAAAUUUAAAAGAUAAAUUGAGUUUUCCUUGUAAAAAUCUAAGUUUUCCUUAUAAAUAUUCAGGUAAUUUUCUAUAAAACCUCAUGUUUUUCCUCUUAUUAAAAAACUAAAAUUAAUUAUUAAAAAGGAACAAAAAUAAAGGAAAUGAAAAAGAUAAAUGAUUUUUUCUUAAAAAUCCAAGUUUUUAUAAAUCUUUCCCUUCCAAAAAAUGAAAUUAGUUCUAAAAGAAAAAAAUAAAAUAAAAAGAUAAUGGUUUUUUCAAACCCAGACUUUCCCUCUAAAUUUUCAAAUUUCUUAUUUAUUAAAAAAACUAAAAUUAAUUCUUAAAAAUAAGAUAAAAUAAAAGAAAUUAAAAAAAGAUAAAAUAAGUGAUCAAAAUGAACACUUAUUAAAAUUGGGCGAUUAAAAUGAGUAUUUAAUGACAAAUUAACGGCGAGUGACUAAAAUAAUAAAAGUAUGUAGCAAUAGUGGCUAAAAUGAUAAGAGAAUGUAACAACAAUGCCUAAAUUGCAUUUUAUUUUCGGUCCCAAAAUGAAAACGUAUGAAAGUUAAGUGAUCAAUUGUGUAAUUUACCUUUGAAUUUAUGAUAAAAUUAAAAAACUACAUAAGUACAUUUGGCCUUACAUAUUAUAUAUACUAGAUUAUGCCGCCACUCAUAAAAAUAAAUAUUUUAUGUAAAAAUAUUUUAUUUUAAAAUUUAUUCAACAACAACUAUAGGUGAAGUGAUAAAGAAUUUGUAAGUAAAUUUUAUUAAACACGUUAUCGGUAUUUGGAUUUGUAGUUUUUAGUUCUUUUAUUUAAAGAUUAUAUAAAAGUAUGGAAAGACAAAAACAUCAUCAAAUUAAUAUUAUUUAUCAUUUAAAAGAAAGAAUAUAUUAGUCUUUUUCCAACUGAAUUGAUAUCCAAUUAAUCCGUGACAUCAAUUCAACCAAAUACUUUAUAAUAUUUAAAAAAAAAUGUAACAUACUGUAAAUAAAAAUUGAAAUUAAAAGAUAUAUGUUUGUAUCAUGUUCUUAUUAUAUUUUUGCUUCAUUUUCUUUAAUUGAUUUUUUUUAAUUAUUAUAUUUACUAGUAUGGCAUACCGCAUGCUCAUGUAACAAAUAAAUAUAUUUAAAUUUUGUAUAAAAUAUAAAAAGACAAAAAAAAAAUCUCAUAAUAUAUUUGAUAUCUUAUAAAAUGAUUUAAGUAUUUGAUAAUUUCCUAACUGAGUUGAAACUCAGUUGAUAAUCGAGACUCAACUCAGUCAACCACUUAAUAUAUAAUAUAAUAUUUAAAAUUUAUAUAAUUUUAACUAUUAUUUAACUGAUAAUUUUGAGAUGGUAAUUUAAAUUCAAAAUUUUUUUAAAAAAAAAAGAAAGAUAUUUAUCAUUUACCCCUCUUGGCUAAAUGGGUAAAUUAUUCUUUAGGCCCUCCUAAAAGUAAAAGAAUUAAUUUAGGCCCAAUCUUUGGUUAAAUGAAGAAGAAUUUUAGCCUUUUUAAAAAAUGAAUAAUCUAAAAUCUAAACAAUUUUAAUACAAAAUUUUUAGUUUUGUGCCCUCCUAAUUUAUAAUCUUCUUUGCCAUGCACAAAUGCCACCAAAUGAGGAGAAAAAUAAUUUGUUCGUAAUCGCAAUACUAGAAGGAUUUAGAAACAAACUAGAGAUACAUCACUUAAAUCAACUUUUGAUAAUUGGAUCCUAACCUCGUUAUAAUCAGAUAACUUGACAAUGAACUCUGAUCAAUCAAAAAACCAUUACUAAAAGCUUCAACAAACCCACCGCAUCAAUGAUGCAUGAAAAGAUAAGUCUCAAAUGACUUAUCCUCUUCUCCAUCAUCUUGAAAUCCAAUUUUGAGAGCACCAUCACAAAACUCUAUCCCAAUGAGGUCCUAUGAAAACUAUUCCCAGUAUAUCUAACAGUGCCCUUCCCUUGAUAAAUCACAUGUAUAUAUUAGAACACAACUGAAAAAAAAAAAAAAAAACUACCACUACUUUCAAAGAGAAUAGAAUAGAUAAGAACCCCAUUGCUUUAAAAGAAAGCAAAAUGAAUUAUUAUUAUUUUUGGUACAAAGGAAGUAUUAAAUCAAAGAUAAAUUAGAGAAGACGAUUCUCCUCCAUCUUAAUCAUCGUGCAAUAACUACAACACUUCAUCCGAUGGUUGCAUGUAAAUAUGUCUCCUCAAAGGUCUUAAGAAUGUCAUUUUUGCCAAGCCAUCCGCAACCUUAUUCUCCUCUCUGAACAUAUGCCUAACGUGAACCAUCCAGGAACGUUUGCAAAGGUCCUUAAUGGCACGCCCCACAACUGAAUAAGUUUGUUAAUCUUCAUUUGCUUGGAUCACUUCGAUAGUUUUAAUCCUAUCCACCUCAAGUAUCACCUUCUCUAAACCAAGAUUCCAUGCUAGUUGGAGCCCCUUAAGAACACCCCAAAAUUUAGCCGGAACCACUGAACAACAAUCAAUAAUUUUAGAAAAACCAACUACCCAAACCCCUGCUGCAGUAAUCUUGGACAAUUGGCAAAUUGCACCAUCAAUAUUAAUAUUCCAAAGUGAAUUAUUAUUUAUGUACAGGUAAUGCCCAAAAAUUUAAGCUUGGAAAGAGAAAAUCCAAAGAAGGAAAUGAGAAAAAAGGAGGCAUUAAAUUGUUAUUGCCUAAUGGAACUCAUUUUCUCAAAUAAAAGGAAAAAGAAAUUUUUUGUUUUUGUUUUUGUUUGGCGAGGAAAAAAAAGUGAAAGGAAAAUGAAAACAAAAUGUUUUUUUACAUUUUUUAUGAAAAAUAAAUAUUAUAAAACCUAUAUACACACACAAAAUAGUUAACCCUAUUUUGAAGGAAUUAAGGGUGAGUUUGGAUGGACGGUGCAUUUACCUAUAAUUAAUGUAAAAACAGUGGAGCAAUGAGCUUAGAUGCUAUAAUAAUAUUGUAAUAUAAGACAAAAAGUAAAUUAAACUCACCACAUCAUAUCUAAUCGCCCAUCCAAGGCUCUUCUCUUACCCGAUAAGUUGGGAGGUUAUCAUGUCAACUCCACUGGGCAAUCAAUAACACGCAAACCCUAAUUUGAAGACUUGGUGGGAUUUAAUAAAAUUAAGAAAAAAGGGGCCUAGAAAUUUAUUAGGAAAAUGACACUAUUAAAGUCAAUUUCUGUAUGAGAUUUUUAGGGAGGUCUUUGACUUUUAUGAAUAGCUGAUAUAUUAAAUUGGGAUAAAUUUCAAAAUUAUAUAUGAAUUUUGAUUCAAUUUAUAAUUUGAUACAUAAACUUUGAUUUAGAGCAAUUAGACAUAUGAAUCUUUGGUUGUGGUUCAAAAAUAUACAUAAAACUUUAAUUUUGAUUCAAUCAUACACAUUUUAAAAAACAAAUACAUCAAUUUAUUUUUAUAUUGGAUAAAUAUAAUUAUAUGUGCAUGUAUAAACAUAAAAUGACGUUAUAUAAAAUAUUGUGUUAAUAAUUUGUGAUAAUUGAUUCAAAUCAAAAUUUUAUGUAUAAAAUUGCACAAAAUUAAAGUUCCUGCAUAAAGUUGCACAUUAAAUCAAAAUUCAUGUAUAGUUUUGAAAUUUGUCCCUAUUAAAAAAAACAUGGUAGAACCAUAGAAGACACUUGCAAACGAGACAACCUGUAAGUAAUGCAUGUUGUCCGAUGGUGGAACUUGACAUUAAGUUUUAGAGGUUUAAUUAAAAUUUUCAACUAUUUUAGAGGUUGAAUAAGAAAUUUUAAAAAUUUUAGGGGGAAUAAUUAAAAUUUUUGAAAACUUUGAGAGGACUAGUGAAAACUUUAGAGAGUUCAAUUAAAAAUUUCAAAACUUUUGUAGGACUUAAUUAGAUUUUUUAAGAAUUAUGGAGGGUCUAGUGAAAAUUUUUAAAAUGUGAAGGAUUAAAUGAUAAUUAUCAAGAUUUUUGAGGACCGAAACCCUCUAUCAAGAUAGUUAGUAUCACACUGUUUCGGUGUACCGUUUUGGAUUUAUUGAUAUUUUUGAAAAAAAAUAUUUAAUAUAUAUAUAGAAACAUUUACAAAUAUCAAAUAUAAAAUAUUCAUGCUUCAGCCGUUGCACAAUGUCACGGUAAAAGUUUUUAUUACUAUUUUGAUAAAAGUUAGAAAGUCUAUAUUUCUAAUAUUAUUCAUGCACAAUAUUCCUGCCAAUGCAAUUAAGAUUAAGCGGAACAGAUCAAUACGAUUGAUAAUGAUUGAAAUUUUAACUCGUGCAGAAAAAGAAAUUGAUUGUACCGAUUUAUUAUUGAAAUGGUACGCACCAACCAGAACCAGUGUGGAACCAACUACAAACUCUAAAUAACAAAAAUAUAUAAAAAUAAAGUUAUACUUUACCCUCUUUAAAAUUUUCUCCUCAAGAAUAAAAUUCUUCAUCCCUAUCCACGUUUGCUGUCACUGUAAGGAUAACUUCUUCCAUUAAUUUGGUAUUGAAUGGACCAGAUUGUGUACUUUUCAAUACUAAGAUCUGACUUGAUCAACGGUGUCAGGGGAUAAAGCUUCAAUUUCGACAGAUAUAUGCCAUUUUCAGUAAAAUUUUUCUUUAAUGGAUUUAAUGAAAAAUAGUUAAAUUGAUGAAAAUAAAUUCAACUUUAUUAUUUACAAUUAUUAAUUAAAUAAGGCUUAAAUAUUUAAUUUUUACUUAAAUAAACUUAUAAGCUUUAAUUUAUAGUUAAAUAAACCCUUUCUAUAAAUCGAAAAUUCAUUUGUAAUAACAAGUUAAUUUUAUGAAAAUUAAAACAUAUAUAAAAGCUUUUUUAAAAAAUUAAACAUAAAAAGGUUACUUUGAGUACAAUAAGGGAUAAAUAUCAGAAUUAUACAUGAACUUUAAUUUAGUGUAAUUAAACACGUGAAACUCUAAUUGUGGUUCAAAUGUAUACUUAAAAUUUUAAUUUUGAUUUAAUCAUAUAUAUUUAAAGAAAUAAAUACAUUAAUUUAUUUUUAUAUUGGAUAAACAUAAUUAUUUAUGUAUGCAAUGUAUAAACAUAAAAUGAUAUUAUAUCAAUAAUUGUGUUAAUAAUUUUAAAAAAUUAGAUCAAAUCAAAAUUCAUAUAUUCAAUUGCACAUUAAAUCAUAGUUCAUGUAUAGUUUUGAAAUUUAUCCCGUAUAAUAAAAAUAUAUAAGAUUAUUUUUAAAAAAAAUGAAGAAUUAAGGCUUUUUAUGCAAUUUUCAAAUAAAAAAUUGAAUUAUCGAAUUUAACAUUAUUUCAAAAAAAAAAACUAAUCCUUUCGAAAAUAAAACAACAAUAUUGGUUAAAUUUAUUUUCUUUCCUUCCAGAUUUAAUUAUUUUUUAAAUAAUAAUAAUAAUAAUAAUAAUAAUAAUAAUAAUAAUAAUAAUAAAACACGUUAGGUUAAAAUAUUUGAUGAAUAGGUCAAAUAGUAAGCCGUUUUAAAAUUCAACGCUGUGUUCUUAAACUGGACUACGUUUACCAAUGAAUCUAAAACAGUUACGUUUACGUAAGUAUGUCGUAGUUUCAAACCUAUUCUCGUGUUGAUUAAAAAAAUAAUUCCGCCAAGUAAUCCAGUUUAAAAAAUUUCAUACAUUUAGUCGGUUUGGUUAAGAAAAUAUUAAAAAUUUAUUGAAUUAAUUUAAUUAACAAAAAAUUCGAGUAGUUCGAGUAAUUUGACCGAUUUUAAAAAUAAAAUAUUUAAGUUUUUAUAUUAAAAUUAUUGUAUAUCCUUAUACGUAUCUAUUUUUAUUUAUAAUAUAAUAUACAAUAAUAAAACUGGUUGAAUCUAUUUAAUUAUCGAUUCUAGUCAAUUGAGUAUUAGCUCGAUUGACACGAGUAUUGUUGCCAAUACAGAAGGACAGGGGUACGAGUGCAUUGAAGCACAUUAUCCUCCUAUUAAAAAAGAAGAAGAUACGAUCAGAACUUAUAAUAAAAUUGUUAAAAAAAUUAUCGAUUCUAAAAAUAGAUAACCAAUCAAAAUAAGAAUGAAUUGAUAUUCUAAGAUUAAUUGACUUCAAAACCAACUAAACUGAAUUAACUAAAUUUAAUCCGUUUCCUAAAAGUAAUAGCACAAAUUAUCUUAGAUAAGUUGAAUCCUUUGUUUUAAAAUGGAUAUUAAUUUUCACCAUUUGAGUGUUGCUCUUUUCAAUGUGAACAUAAGGUUAGACAAUAUAGUAAUCAACAUUAAUACAAAUUAUUAGUAAUUGGUCAAUCUUGUAGGGCUAAGAGGAAACGGUGAUGAGGAGGAGGUGUUGAAGUCUAAGGUCACUCUCACUUUGACGAAGUCGGUCAUUUCUUUUUGGAAUGAUUUUCUCUUCAUUAUUGUCACCAAACUCAACUCUAUAAAAACCCCAUUGUUUUGGAUCCAAUAUUUUAAAAUUAAAAAGAUCAACACAAGAUAUCCAAGAAGAAAGUUAGCUCUACUUGAAUAUAUCGAGAGAUUAGAGAGAGUUUUUGAAGUAACUUGAGUUGCAGAAAGCUUGAAAAAUGAGCACGACAAUGGCGCCACCACCCCCGGUGGUUGAUACUGAAAAAUUAGCACGUUCAUUGGAGGAGACACCGACAUGGGCUGUUGCAGUGGUGUGUUUAGUUAUUGUUGUUGUUUCAAUCUUCAUCGAACAUGGCAUUCACAUGCUCGGCAAGGUAUGUUUAAUUUUAUUUUUUUAAAACCCCUUUUCAAUUUUAUAAAUUAUAACUAAAUUUCGAGUUUUUACUUGAUAACUCAAUCAGUUCAUUUAAUCAUCCUUAAAAUGGCGAUUAAAAAUUAAUUUUCAUUAUCAAUCAAAAAGUUAAUUAUUAAGAGGGAUUAAAAUUGAAAUUAUCUCAUUUAAUUAAGGGAGCUAAAGGCUUGUACCAAUUUAGGGAUCUUCAAAAGGUUAACCGAUGGGUUAAUUGAACUUUUUGAUCUUUCAACUGUUAACUGAAACGGAAUUUUUAAAAAAAUAUACCCAAACUAAAAUAUCUCAGUUAAUUGGGCAGGUUAAUCAAAAUUUAUCUGUUUUUAUUUUUUUUUUGUUAAAACAAGUAUAAAAUAUAUAUAAAAAAAUGCAUAAUGUUCAUUUGACCGAAUUAACCAAAUUAAUUGAAUUAACCAAAAUAGUAAUAGCAUAAUACAUAUAAUAUAUAAUAUUAUUUAUUAAGUUAAGUUAAUUUGGUUAAUUACCCGAUUUUGAACCAAAUUAAUCGUUAAUCAAAAUUCCGAAAAAACUUUAACCAACCCUGGUUGAACCAGAUCAAUUAACUGACUGAUUAACCGAAUUAGAUCAGUUCGAUCGAUUAAUUCAGUUUUAACCGAAAUUUGAACACUUCUAUACCAGCCUCCACUUUGCCAUGUUUCAGAAUUCAAAUUUUAGUCAUCCUUAAAAGAUGAUAUCAAAUUAUUUCGAAAUUCAAAUAUUAAUAUUUGUAAUCUUAUUCUUCAACUUACGAUAUUUUUUUGAGAGUUUUCUAAUUUCAAUUCGAUGAUACGAGAUUGGAUAUCACUUUUAACUGUAGUUAUAUGGUUUGAUUGAAUUAAUUAUUUAAUUUGUUAAUAUUUAUUCAUGAUAUUUUUACGAAAAAAUAAGUUUUUUUUUUCAUAUAUAUUACAUAGUGGUUGAAGAAAAAGAAUAAACCAGCUCUAUACGAAGCACUCGACAAGGUUAAAAUAGGUAAUUGAUUUUUUUUUCUUUUUUCCUUUUUAAAUAUUCAUAUUUAAUAUAUAAUUAAAUUAAAAAUUUUAAAAAAUAUAUAUGUGAAAAUAUGAAGACUUUUGUAUUUGUGUGUUGCAGAGCUGAUGCUGAUGGGAUUUAUAUCAUUCCUACUAACAGUAUUUAAAGACAGUAUAGCUGACAUUUGCAUAUCAAAAAGCGUUGCGGACACGUGGCAUCCUUGUGAUAAGAAUUCCAAGGCUAAAUACCCUCCUAAAGAGACUGAUAAAUGUCGAGAAAAGGCAUGCCAUUUAUUAUUCAUUUUUCUAUAAUGGGCCUCGUAAUAUUAUUUUCAAUAUUUGGACUCUUUUUUUUUUUUUAAAUGUAACGUGCUUUAUCAUAUAUAUUUAAUAUAAAUACAAAUAUUACUUUUUAGAUAUAUUUCAAAGAUUAAUUUUGAAUUAAAAUUUGAAAUUUCAGGGAAAAGUAGCAUUUGUGUCGACAUAUGGAAUCCACCAGCUUCAUGUAUUCAUCUUUGUGUUGGCAAUCUCUCAUAUUCUGUAUUGCAUUACCACCUAUGUUUUGGGAAGUUACAAGGUAUUUUUUUAAACUAUUUGAUAUAAAAUUAUUUAAGAUUAUCUUUAUCUUAUCUAAAUAAAUUUUUUGGACCGCAGAUGAAGACGUGGAAGACUUGGGAAAAUGAAACCAAGACUGUUGAAUAUCAAUAUUACAAUGGUAUUUUAUAAUGAAAUUCUCCUUCUUUUUUUUUAUUUAGCUUGUUAUUUCAUAAAAUUCGAAAGGACUAUAUAAUCAAUUUACUAUUUUGGAGGUCCAAUGCCACUGCCUCCAGACUUAUUUAUAUACUUAGAAAAAUGUUUUUUAUUUUAAUUAAAACUGAAUAAAAAUUAAUUUUGUUAAUAAAUAAUGAGUAUUUUUUUCUUGUUUAUGAUAAUGUAGAUCCUGAGAGGUUCAGAUUUGCAAGGGACACUUCAUUUGGACGUAGACAUUUGAGCUUUUGGAGUAGCUCCACUUUAUCUGUUUGGAUUGUAAGUAAAAUCAAAAUUUAAAUUAUUUAAAAUAAAAAUUAUCCAAAACUUAAUUAUGAUAAUUAAUAUUAUUAUCUAUUUAAAUAUUUAUUCAUUGUCAGGUGUGUUUCUUUAGACAAUUUUAUGGAUCAGUUACAAAGGUUGAUUACUUGACAUUGAGACAUGGAUUUAUCAUGGUAAGUUAAAAGUCUAGAUUUAGGUUACAAUUUCAUAUUUUUUAUUUAUUUGUGGCAUUGUUUUUAUUGUAAUAGAUUAUGGUGAAUAUUGAUUAUAAUAUCGUGUUGCAAUUGUUUUUAGGCACAUUUGCCACCAGAAAGGGAAACAAAAUUCGAUUUUCAGAAAUACAUAGAAAGAUCAUUAGAAGAUGAUUUUAAAGUUGUAGUUGGAAUCAGGUUAGUACUCUUUUUUUUUUUUUUUUUUUAUUUGAAUUCGAGAGUAAACGUUAGAUACAAAUAUAUGUUCUAUUCGAAUAUAUUCAAACAUGAAUUACAAACAUAAAUACUAACUUAUAAUGUCAUAUGAAUUUGCAGUCCUAUCAUAUGGUUUAUUGCAGUCUUCUUCCUUCUUGCCUAUACACAUGGUAAGAAUUUUCGUAUACAAUAUCCAUCAUUUAUGAAUGUAAUGAAUGUUAUCACGAUCUAAAUAGAUUGAAACCCGACAGGAUGGAGAUCUUAUUUGUGGCUUCCUUUUAUCCCCUUAAUUGUAAGUACAAUUUAUGCAUGUUAAAACAUAAUGGAUUACAAUAAUGCUUGAAUUUGGGUAAUAAAUAGGGAGCUUUUGCUUAUUUCAGAUAAUUCUAAUGGUUGGAACCAAGCUGCAAGUGAUCAUAACAAAAAUGGGGUUAAGGAUUCAAGAGAGAGGGGGUGUGGUGAAGGGUACACCACUGGUUGAACCAGGCGAUGAACUCUUCUGGUUCGGCCGCCCUAGCUUCCUCCUCCUUCUCAUUCACAUCGUUCUUUUUACGGUAAUAAUUUUCGCUUCAAACCUAGCUUUUUAUGUCAGAUUAUUGAAAAACAACAUGGUAUGAAUAUCCUGAUUUCAUUUGUGCAGAAUGCAUUUCAACUGGCCUUUUUCGUGUGGAGCACGGUAAGCAAAAACCUAAACCCCGUGUUUGUUUCCUGAGAAAAUGUUUUGAUUAGCUUAUCUAACACUUUCUUUUUAUCCUAUUCAGUAUGAAUUCACCAUAAAUUCUUGCUACCAUGAGAAAGUUGAAGAUAUCGUCAUCAGAAUCUCUAUGGGGUGAGUUUUUCUUUUUCAGCUAAGAUCAUAAUAAAUAUAUAUAUUAAAGAUUUGAAAAAAAAUGAAAGCAAAAUACUGAUAAUAUAUUUUUGCAAAUUUCAGGGUCAUUAUACAGGUUCUUUGCAGUUACGUCACUCUUCCACUCUAUGCUUUAGUGAACCAGGUAAUAAAUUAGAUGGGUUCAAUCUUAGAUGAAGAUAUUAUAAAUUUAGUUUGAUAUAGUCUUAAUUGUAAUAAUUAUUUUCAUCUAUUGAUAUACAAUUUUGAUAAUUCUUUUAUUUUAAAUUCUAAUAAACUCGAAUCUAAACCUGAAUUUCGAACCCUAAACUCAAACUCUAGUUCAAGGUCUGAAUUCGAGGUUCCAACCAUUAAAUAGUUGAAAAGUAUUUUCUCCUAUUAAUCCAAAUAAUUUUAAAAGAAUAUUAUAUUAUUAAUUUAUAUAUUUGUAUUUGUGUACAGAUGGGAACAAAGAUGAGACCAACAAUCUUCAAUGAAAGAGUUGCAGAUGCACUUAAGAAUUGGCGUGACACAGCGAAGGAAAAUACUAAACACGGCAGGCGUUCGGAGAAUACAACGCCAUUUUCAAGCAGGCCGGGAACUCCAACACGUGGGAUGUCUCCGGUCCAUCUUCUGCAUAACUAUCAACGAAAAAGUGAGGAAAGUGGUCAUACGUCUCUGGCGCAUUCAGACUUCGAGAACGACAAUUGGGAUCCGGCCGAUACGUUUGCCAACUCUUCAAGUCACCGAGAUAUCGGUGUUCCUGAAGUCAGUCGUGGUGGAUCGCAAUUAGAAAUGAGGGAAGUUGCAGACGUGAGGGUUCUAGAAUCUAGAGCUUCACAAAGGGUAUCCACGUCAUCUCGGAUAGCUCGAACACAACACGAGAUCGAUAUUAGUCCGUCGAGUUUUUCCUUUGCGAAAAGAUGAUCGAAACCAAUGAUAUAAAACGUGUUAAACGGUUGAAUCUCGUGUAUUGACCUGAUGAUUAAGAUAUUCGCGUGAUCUAGAUUCGAGUUGUGCUACUCGCAUUAUUAUUAGGGUUUUGCUUUAUUCUUAUAAUUCACAAAGAAAAACAUGUUAGAAUUUGUAUUAUUAGGUUUUAUUAGAUUCAAUGUUGCAUCAUAAUGUGUUAGAAUUUGAUAGGAUAAUUGCUUGUANNNNNNNNNNNNNNNNNNNNNNNNNNNNNNNNNNNNNNNNNNNNNNNNNNNNNNNNNNNNNNNNNNNNNNNNNAGAAGAAUUUAUUGGUAGUUGACGUGGAUAAUUAAAAAAAUUGAGUACACUUCAAUUUCAAUUUUGAAAAUAAUAAAAGAUAAUUAUCCUUGUUAUGUAUAUAUAAUACAUUGGUAUCAUCUUCUCUUAUUUUACGCUUUGUUAUUUAUAUAAGUAGUUUGUAUUCCUUGUAAAUUCAGAAUUUAGUCUUUAUAUUUUUAUUUUUAAGAAUUUAGUCUUAUUAUUAAAUUCUAAAAUUUAAGUUCAAUUCUUAACAUUAUUAAAUUUUUAGGUAAACUAUAUAAUUAAUCAUAACGUGUUUCUGUUUUGGUCAUCGAACUACAAAAAAUUUUAAUUUCGUCACUAAUGUUAUCGUUCAAAUCUAUUUUGGUCAUUUUAUGUUAAAUCGUUAAUGAAAAUGAUGACGAAAUUUUUUUAAUAUGUUAAAUUUUUUUUUAUGAAUCUAACUCUACACAUAUAAAUUCUAUGACUUUGAUGAUUUGGUUUUUCACAUAUGGAAAAAUGGGUUGUAAAAUUAUAUGGGGUUGAAAAUUGUGAGCAAUAAAAUUUUUAUUCAAUUUUUGUGGGUUUCGUCUUUUCAUUAUUUUAUUUUCCAAUUUUCAAACCGUACUAAAGAAAAAUAUUGAUAUAUUUAAGAAUUUGAAAAAAAAUGUGUAAUUUUUAAGUGUUAUGGUUAGGAAUCGACCUGUAUAAAUAAUGAAAUAAUAACAAUAAAAAAGAAUGUUUUACGUGGAGAACCCUCGAAUAGGGAAAAACAUAGGCAAAAGAGGCUUAAAAUGCCCCCGUCUUUCACUGGCCUAGGCUUUGUAAGCUAUACAGGGCAAAAAUGGACCUAUUUUUCUUUUUCUUUGGCAGAGCGAGAGACGACGACGACCGAAGGGAAGGCUCUCUUUAUUUUAUAUCCAAGAUUAGACUAUUACGAGGCACUGUAGCCCGCUAACGGUUACCUGCGAGCGAUGAUUUCAACCAUUAUAGCUGGCGUCGACCCGCUUUCUUUAAGUCAUUCGAUCACUCGAGAGUACUUUUUUCUAUCGCAAUCUCUCUGGUUUUGAGUCCACACGGAUCUACUGAUUUUUAUGUACUUUCUCUAGUAGGGAAGGAUUAGUCCGAGCCGUGUAGGCAGAAAGCUAAAAGGGGUUUUGGCACGCUAAAGGCUUUGUUUUGCCCAUUUCUAGGCAUCCUUACUUUUUUACUCUCGUCUGAACAGUGGCUCCUUGUUAAUCCAUGCAGCGAUAGUUUAGUUGAUGCUCUUCUCCACGUUCACCCUUAUCGCAGGAUGGGUGUAGUUCAGAGCGCAAGAUUUGAAGAAAGCAAGCCUGAGUCACAUGCCCUACUCUCUAUUUUUAGUUAGAUGGCUUGUGAUGUACCAGGUCUAUUUCGCUCUAUGGUUAUAAAGCAAGUACACCCCCAUCUCUUUGGAUUGAAAUCAUGUCCCGAAUCUCACCGGGAAUGAUUCAUUAUCAUAACGAGGGGGCAGCAGUCAAUCUAUAUCUCACUUCGUUCCUCAGGUCUCCAAGCCUUUCUUUUUUGUUGCACUUCUGAACUCUCGCUCUUCAGGUGAUAUCAUUGUGAUGGAUGCUCUCUCCCAUUUACUGAAUAUCAUCUUUGACGAUGUUUUUUUCUCCUUUUCACACGGGUUUAGAAAAGGUCGGGGUCCGAUUUCUUUUUUUUUUUGGAAGUUCAGGGGUGGGGGCAGGUCGAUAGACUAAUAAAGUCUGAUAUCGUUGGGUGUUUUGACAACAUCGAUCAUGAGCUACUAAUCAACAUAAUUCAAUCCUACUUGGGAAAGGAAAAUCAACCCUUCUUUGAUCUUAUAUUAGCUUUCCUAAAAACUCCAAUCGUAGACAAAAAAGGGAGGGAUUUUAAUAAUAACGAAAAAGGCAUACCUCAGGGCAGCCCUCUUUCCUCUGUUAUGAUGAACAUCUUUCUUCACCAGCUAGAUAUUCGAAUCAAUUCCUUUAUGGAAAGGGAAAAGAGCGUACGAUAUUUAAGGUAUGCAGAUGAUAUGCUUUUUGCUAUAAAAAGCGGUGUGGACUCAGAACAGAUAAACCACAGCUUGAAGAAAUUCUUUAAUGAAGUUUUGCAUGAACUCAAACUCGAGGCAACAUCACUAGAGCUUAUUCGAGGAAAGAGUAAGCCCCGGGAAAGGUUUGUAUUACGUUUGUUUUUAUCUAUUAAACUAAGUGGGACCCUGGUGAUACGAAGUAAACAAACAAGAGUACAAUAUGGAGAAAAUAAACUUAAAUGUACAAACCAAAUCCUAAAAAUAAAGUCCUAACUCGCGAACAAAAUUCUUUCCAUAGUUACCAUGAACUCUCACCAAAACUCAUAUCCCACUACAUCUUGUCGUCCUUAAGAAAAGCUUUUGUUGAUUGACAUAUCAAAAUAGGGAUACAAUAGCCUUUGUCCUUGGCCACAUCAACUACCUCUAUAAUUAUUCGAAAUUGUCAGAAACUAAAAUUUGUGAUCCGUCAAACUUUUCAAUAUCCAAAAUCAUUGUGGUGCCACCGAACAAAUCGAUCUGCGGAAGCUGAACCAGGAUCUGAUACUAGUUUGUUGGGGAUCGACCUGUAUAAACAAUGAAAUAGUAAAAGUAAAGAAGAACGAACACAAAUAUUUUACGUGAAAACCCCUUAAAGAGGGAAAACCAUGAGCAAAUGAGGCUUCAACUUUUCACUAAAUGAGCUUAACCAUUCCAUACGGUCAUGUGAGCCACAUGAAUGUGUGGUAGGCCAUGUCAAUUUCAUGGGAUUGCAUAUCAAACAACAACAAAAUUACGAUUUUUAGGUUUUUCGGGCAUUCUAAGAGGGAUAUAUGACAAAAAUAAGAAGAUAGGAGAGAGCCGUUAGAGAAUACUCAAGAAAACAACUUGAAAAACACCAUUGAAGUUGACUUUGAAGCAAAUUUCCGUUAAGAUUGAAGAUUUUCAAUUGACCUUUUAGGAAGUUAUCAUGAGUUUCUUAUUUCUUUCGGUUAUAUAUUGUGUCUUAGAUGUUUUUAUUUUCAAGCAUGAACUAAUUUUCUAAAUACAUAAGGGAAAUGAACUCUAUGAUGGAUUCUGUCGUUUGAUUUCUAUUUUACGCAAUAAAUAUUUCUUGCUCUCAAUUAUGUGUGUUUAAUUAUUGGUUUAAUAUUUAUAGAUUAUUGAUCCAUAUUCGAUGUGCUUAAAUCAAUGGUUGAAUGGACCCUGUUUAAGAGUAGAUAUUACUUAUUUGAGUGGAGUUGCAUGUAACCCUAGAAAUAGGACGACAUAAAUAUAUCGGAUUAGAGUCAAAUCUAAUAGGGAAUCAAUAUCACAAAUUAAUGUGAUAAUAGGGUUUUUAAUUAGAAAGAAAUUUCAAUUAAUCAACCUAGAGUCAGUUGCUCUUAUGCUCGAAAGAGAUAUUAACAUAGUUUAGGUAUUUCUACGGAUCAAUGUCCUAAGUAAAGAAAUUGCGUAAUUUAGAUUGAUAUGACAGAUGAAAUCUAGGCGAAUUCUUUCAUGGGUAUUAUUUCGCUUCUUGGUUAUUACUCGAUUAUUUUUGUGUUUUGUUUUUUGUCAUGUUCAUUAAUUAAUUAAUUAAUUUAAUUUUAGUUUUUAAUCAAUCACUUGAAUUAUUCAGUUAAAUAAUAGAAAGACAGUAAUAAUUACUAGUACUUAUAGUGCUCGUGGGAACGAUAUCUUUACUCAUCGCAGCUAUACUAUUAAUUGAUAGGUGCACUUGCCUUAGUCAAAUUUUUAGUUAGUUUUGUGACACAUUAGCAUUCUCCAAAUUAAUUUUAUAUAAGUUAUAAUAAUUAAAUCUACAAACUAUUUGGAUUAUGAACUCAAAUAUUAUAAGGUCGGUGUUUAUUAUGCAAAUAGAAAAUAUUUUAUUGUAUCAUACUGUGAGGUAUGAUACAAUUUGAGAGAAUAGUGCCAAACACAAGUACCACAAACAACACGCGAACUCUUUAAUUUGAGACAUUCAAGGCUUCGGAAUAUGGUUGAGAAAACAUUUGUUGUUCUAAAAAAAAUUCACCUUAGUAUAACAUAAAAAACAAUGUUGGAUUAUACAAAUGAUGAUCUAUACUUUGAAGAAUAUAUAGAAGAAUGAGAUCUUGAUAAACUUAAUAAUGCAGUUUCAAAUUCGGAUGAUGAUGAACUCGGUCAAUGAUCAACAAAUGAUGAUAAGGAGCGUAUGUUAAAUAUUAAAGAGGAAAUAACCCAACAAAUACAGACUAGAACAAUUGCAUAAAAUUGCAUAUUAUGAUUGAUUUUCUUACUAUUUUUAUUAAUAAUCGUAUUAUCAACUAUUUUUUUAGACUAAUAUAACACAUAUGAUGGUUUGAAUUUUAAUUUUUGUUACUUGUGUAGAAAUUAUUUUUAUCAUACUAAUAAUUUUUAUAGUAAUUAAUAUUUUUAAUUAUAAAUUACGUAACCGUGUAAUUACAAUUUGUACUAUUAAACAUGACAUAGAUAAUUACAAUAUAAUUACACUCUGUCAGCCAAACACAUCUAGGAAAUUACAAUUCAUUAUAAUUACGAGAGAGUAUAAUUAUUACCUUAGUAGUUACAAUUUUAUUCAAUUACUUGUGUUGUCCAAACAAACCCUAAAUAAAUAAAUAAAAUACUUAUUAAAAAGGGUUUUAGAGGAUUUAAAUUUAUGAUUCAACAUAUGUGUUUCCGGUCAUAUCAAUUUUAUUAAUGUUAACCAGUAAGGUGAACAAGAGGAAGAGGAUGGUGGCUGGACAAAGGUAAGGUGAAGUCUGGGAAAGAUAUCAAUUUGUAAAGGAUUCUAAGGGUUGAGGAAGGAGUGAGUACGUAGUGUGUAUGAGUUGUUACAUGGCCCUUUUAUAGUAGAGGACAAGUUUAUCUAUAUGUCUUGAGGUUGCUGACAUGGAUGUUUCAUUUGAUACUCUUGGCAAUGAUGAUGAUGCUAUGUCCUAAAAUAAAAUACUUUAGGAUGACUGGCAACCAGUUACCCUGGGCUCUAUGUGGUCCACAUAUGUUCUCAGCAGAGAUGACCGACUCCAAAGUUCGCCAAACUAAGGUUCGCAAACUGACCCACGGUUCGCUAUGUUGCCAGCUCCAUUGAGAGACAUAUGUUAGAUUCUUUAUGGGUACGUUAGAGGUCUACGAAGUCUGUUAUAUAAAGUAUAAAAAUUGCCCUUAAGUGAGAGAAGGUUAUAAAGUGCUCUUCGUGAACUUGUUGGGGAAGCUGGUAACGUAGGUGUAAGGUUUGCUUUGAAGUAUUGUAUAUUUUAUUGAUAUCUUUAUUUUAUUUUUUCAGAAAUGAUUAUUUUUUAAAUUUGAAUUUAUGGGGUAAAUAUAUUCUUAUAUGCACACUGGUAUAUAUUUAAUGAUGAAUGUUUUUGAAAUGUUCAAUAUAUUACAGCGUAUUUAUUGGGUUCCCCAUGAAACUGGCAUUACUAUUACCAUGCGAGUACACGGUCAAGCUCGGAUUGGAGCGGCUUUUUGGAUUUGGGAAAUAGCGCAUGAGUGAGUGAGUGCAACUUACUUUAUAAAUUUCGAAUGAACUUAUAAAUAUGGACAAGAGUUUGUGAUUUAUUUCAUCGUUUGUUUUUUGAAUUUCCUGGUGUAUGUAAUCUUCUUCGUUUGUUCUUCUGGUGCAGUUUUCUUUAGUAGGUUUCCAUUGUUCUUACUUUUCUUAUAUUGUUCUUAAAUUUUAUUUUACUCUUAGUGAAAUAUGCAUGGUCCCUAGCUAGGUUGUUUAGUGUUCCCAUUGAGAAUGAGAAAUUUGAGUGUUUUACAUCGUUAGAGAAGAUGUGGAAAUUGUUAGAAUGUAAAGGAAUUACAUGUUUCGAUAAUUUUAAAUACAAGUUUGAUAUAAAGGGGAAACAUCGAUUGAGUGAGAUGAAUAAUUGUUAAUUGCAAGAGAGAAAAUAGUCAAUUUCUGUUACCCCUAUAUGUGUUUAAAGUAGGUUUUCAUUUGCCUCCACACCCCCUUUUUGUUGAAAUGUUGGUUUUUAAUCGGAUGGCUCCUGAGCAGUUGAUAGGCUCUUCAUAGUGGAAGUUAAUGGCAUAUUUAUUAGAUUGCUGGUUACAUGGAGAAGAAGCCUUUGUGAAUGUGUUCAAGGGAAUAUAUAUAUAGUAACUCUUAUAAGUGAAAGUAACCAAGGGGGUUUUGUGAUGUUUACCACUCGAAGAAGGGGAAAAGUCGAUGAUAAAACCACUAGUAAUAUGCGUCUGAUCUGAGAUAAAUACACCAAGAUCGAACAAACUUGUGGUGGAGAAUUUCCUUUACCUGAAACCUUCCAGUGAAAAAAGUACUUGGAAUACUUAUUCAUUGAGCAAAGUAGAGGAGGCCAAAUUGAAGAGAUUCCAAACAAGUUCGCCCAUAAGAUAUGAGUAAGUCCACAGUUUGAGGAACAUUUGGCUCAAUAAUCAAACUCGGUAUUGGGAGGAUCACUGCUACUUGGGUUUGACAUGUUUGUCCAUGUUAAUCACACCAAUUGUUAAUCAGUAAGGUGAAUAAGAGGAAGAGGAUGGUGGUUGGUCGGAGGAAGGUAAGGUGAAAAUUGAUAAAGAAAUUAGUUUGUAAAGAAGUUUGACAGUUGAGGAAGAAUGAGUGAGUACGCAGUGCAUAUGAACUGUUGUAAGGCCCUUUUACAGUGGUGACAAGCUUAGCUACAUGUCUUGAGGUUACUAACAUGGAAGUUAGAUUUGAAACUCUUGAUAGUGACAAAUAUGCUAUGCCCUAGAAUAAGACAUUUUAGGAUGACUGACAAUCAAUUACUCUGGGCCUCUAUGUGGUCUUUCAUAUAAUCUCAAUGAAGAUGGCCAGCUUUAAAGUUCGCCAAGCUGAGUUUCGCAAAUUGACCCAAGGUCUGCCGUGUUGUCAACACCAUUGAAAGACACAUAUCAGAUUCUUUAUGGAUACAUUAGGAGAUCAAUGAAAUACUCUGUAAGGUCUACUAUAUAAGAUACAACAAUUGACAAUAGAAAAAAAAAUCCAAUCCCUCUCAAAUAUCAAUUCAACCUAUAAUUAAAGAUUUCACCAAUGUAAUCUUUCAAUCCCAUUUUUUAACCUUUGAUUAAAAUUUAAAAUCAACCAGGUCAAAGACAAAUUGUUGUAAAUAGAGAUGUUCAUUGAUAAGUCAAAUUAAAUUUAACUAUUUUUUGUCAAAUAUUUUGUUCCAACUCUCUUAAAUAUCCAAACAUAUGUCGGUGCCUAAAUCUCAUUUUAUUUUAUUAAAGUCUAUAAAAUUUUAAAAGAUGUGAACGUAACCUUAUCUAAAUCAUUAUCAUCAUUAUUGUUAUUAUUAUUUAUCGGCCAACAUCAUAUCUCAUCAAGUUAAAAUAUACAUCAAGUCUCUAUACUCUUCGUACAUUUGAUAAAAAAAGUUUUAAGGAUUUUAAUAAUUAGAUUUAAAUUUCAAAUUUUAAAAAAUAAAAAUUAAGAGAAUAAAUUUUAAAUAUACGAAAGAAAAAAUUAGAUGUAUUUUAAUUAACCUUUUCAUCCUCAACAUCUGGUCAACCUUGUAAGACUAAGGGUGAGUUUGGAUGGGCGGUGCGUUUAUCUGCGGUUAGUGUAAAAACAGCGGUGGCGGUGAGAUUAGAUACUGUAGCAAUACUGUAGCGUGAGACAAAAAGUAAACUAAACGCACCGCACCGCGCCAAUCGCUCAUCCAAACUCACCCUAAGGCGGAAAGUUCAGGGAGAGGAGGGGAUUAAGUCCACAGUCGCUCUCAUCAGUGACAAAGUCAUGUCUUUUUGGAAUGUUUCUAUGAUUUCCUCUCCAUUAUAGCAAACAAUAAAAAAUCCAUUAUUUUGAUCUAAAUUUUUAAAUUGAAAAUCACAAAAUAUUUUUCUAUUGAAGCAUUUCUAAAAUAUAUAUAUAACGUUAGAUUUAUGGGUCGGGUUAUCCGUUUGAAAUUUGAGAAGGUUCGGGUAAAAAAAUUAGAUCUGUUUAAAAUAUAGGUCGGACUCGGGCUUGAAUAUUCAAGGUUUGAGCUCAAGCCCAAGUCUGGUCCAACUCUUUUUUUAAGUUUAUAGUACUUUAUGUUAUGUUAUUUAUAACACAUUAAAAAAUAAACUUAUACUAAAUAUAUAAUACUACUCUAAUGUAAAUAUUAAAAUAAUGUUAAAUAAUUAUAUAAAAAAUUUAAUAAAUAAAAAAUAUUAAAUUAAAAUAAUAUAAAAAUGUAAAAAAUAAUAUGGGGCAAACUUUUAGGCCCAUAUUUCGGGUCGAGCUAGGCUUAGGCAAGCAUAAAGUAUAUUAAUAUCAUGGUUAGACCCAACCUGAACCUCGCCUGACCAAACCCAUAAGCACCUCUAAUUACAAAUGAAAAAUAUAAAUAAUAUGCCACUUGGUUAUUAAUAAAAAAUUGUCACUACGCAUAGUGAUAAAUUGUAUCUCUUGGUUAUAAUUAUUCAAGUAAUAUGUAAUGAAUAAAUGUGUUCAUCCUUAAUAGAUGUGACUAUCCAAAUAGGCAUCUCUUGAAUUGUUACGCCUCUAAAAGUCAUGAAAACUCCUAUAAAUAGGAGUGGAAUUUCGUUUGCAUUGUACACAAAAAAAAAUCUUUAGAAAAAGAAUUUCUCUUAUUAUUCAUCUUUUAAUAUUUAAAGAUUAUUCUAUAAAGAAUUGCUAUCAAAGUUUUUCUUUUAAUUUGAUACUCUUGCUAUGUGAUGCUUCACUUAAUGUUCAAUGCUCAAUGGAUUAUUUUUAUUAAUACAAAAUGUCGACAGACGUUGGGCUUCAUCAUAUCUUUAAUAUUCAUUUGCUUGUAACUUUUUUGCAUACCAAAAUAUAAGUAAUGUGAAUAGAAUGUUAAACAAAGUGACAUGAUUACAGUAUUGAAAUCUUCGUUAAUUUCUUAUUAGUUUAUUUGUAUUUUUAUGCACCAACAUCAAGAAAAAAAAUUAACUCCAUUGUAAAAUCAAUCAAAUUAAUUUAAUUACAAAUAUUGAAAUCGAUUAAUUUAAUUACAAAUUAAUUUAUUUGUUUCAAAUUGUGUUUUCAUAUUGGAAUUAUAUAUUACUUAUAUAAAAUAAUUAUUUAGUACACUAGUUGUGAAAAUUUUGAACUCCACAAAUAGGUUGAGAUUCCACCAUGUAUUUUUAAAUUAUAUUUAAUUUAAAAAAAAAACAUGUGAUGAAAUCUCAAUCGUACUUGUGGAGUUCAAAAUUUACAAUACGUGUACAAAAUAUUUCCAAUUAUAUAAUAUAAAUGCGAUAUAAUAAUUUUAUUAUAUGCUUAUAUUAUUUAUAAUAUUAAAAUAUAUAAUAAAAUAAUUAAUUAGUUCACUAAUAAGUGUUAGGUAUAAUGGUAAGGCAUAUUAUAUUUCUAAGAGGAGACAGGUUCAAACUUUGGAGACGAUAUUGUUGGGAGGAGCAGCAACAAACCCCGAACAUGAAUAGUAAAACAGACAUGAAGAAUACCAAAAUAAAUUAACUAAUUUAAUCUAUUAUGCUAAUGAUUUCAGAUAAAUUGAUUUCAAUUUUUUAUAUUAUUCCAAUAUAAUAUCAAACUCACAUAGUUACAUCCACACAGGCUAUUUAACAUUACUUUUGAAAAGUGACGUAGAAAAGUACUUUUUAGAAGUACUUCUGAAAAGUACUUUGGAAAAGUUUGAUUUAAGAUUUAAGUGUUUAGUAUUGUUAUCAAAAAAUGCUUUUGAAAAAUAAUAUGUCCAAUUUAGAUAUGGUAUUACAGAGUAACAAAUAUACAUUUAAAUAAUAUUCAAAUUAAUUAAUAUUAUGAUAUGUUAGUAUGAAUAUAAAUUUUAAAUAUUUUUAAGCAAUUUAUAAAAUUUAAUUAGACUAUAUAAAUUAUAUUUUAAAUAUUUAAAUAUAACAAUUAAAUAUUUGUAAUUAAAUAUUAACACAUUAGUAUUAUUUUAAAAAAUAAUAUUACGAAAUAACAUGUUUUUUCCUUCUCUGCAACGAAAAAAAAAAGAGGGAAAGGGAUGACGGAAAUAAUUAAGUAAUUAAAAGUACUUUUGGGAGAAUAAAAGCUACAGAUUUUAUCCAUUUGACCAGAAGUACUUUUGAAAAGUCAAAAAAUUUAACCUAAAGUUGUUUGCUUAACACAACUUUUCUUCCAAAAGUGCUUCUUCAGAACACUGUUAAAUACAACUUAAAUAAGUGACUUGUUUAAUGAAUCUUUUAACAAUGGUAAUUAAAUUAUAUUUUUGAAUAAUUAAAAUAAAAAUUACCCAUAUUUAAAAUAACUAACGAGGUAGUUAAAUUAGGGGAGAAGGUAGAAAUUUCUUUUAGGGGGUGCAAAUUAUUUAAAUUUUUCGAUACUAAAAAUACAAUUUCACUAUUUAAAUAACAUAUAUUUUUAUAGUUUUUAAAGAAUUAAAUUAUUUUUUAUUAUUUUUAUGGAGAGCAAGUGCAAUUUUGCUUUUUCUAAUAUAAAAUUUUAAAAAAUAUAAAAACCUAAAUAAAAAAAUUUCCGGUACGGGGCCCUGAGUUAAACUAUUAUUAUUGUUUGGCGAUUCUUGUAAAGCUAAGCGAAAGGUGAUGGGAAAGAGGCGUUUUGGAAGUUUCUUAUUACAAGGUCUUUUAGUUUUGGAAGUUUCUAUGGUUUCCUCCUCGUUAUGGCAAGCAACUCAAUUCUAUAAAUAGCCUAUUAUUUUGUAUCUAAACAUUUAAAUUAAAAAAAUAUCCAAGAAGAAUACUAUCUCUAUUUGAAUAUAUAGAGAGAAUUCUUGAAGCACUUUGAGUUGCAGAAAGCUUGAAAAAUGAGCACAAAAAUGGCGCCACCGUCGCCGGUGGUUGAUACUAAAGCACGUUCAUUGGAAGAGACACCAACAUGGGCUGUU